Molecule: long non-coding RNA, 55221 nt
Filed under: Theobroma cacao (cacao)
Lineage: Eukaryota; Viridiplantae; Streptophyta; Magnoliopsida; Malvales; Malvaceae
Description: long non-coding RNA (TCAC_LNC004186)
Source: RNAcentral
AAAAUACUAAAUUCUCCAGGGAUGGCGAUGUGAUGAGAAAAUUUUCUGAGAAAAAGCAACUCAAGUUUAUCAAGUUUCCGAGUUGUAGCUGUUGUAGGCAAGGGAGUGCAAUGGCACGAUCAACUCCAUGCUUUUCUUUUGCCACAUUGAAGACUUGUUGCAAUUGAGGAGAAUCGCUUAUCGAAACGAAUUUCAAUCGUGGAGGAACUUGAGCCAAAGAAAUUUGAAAAACAUAUUCCAGUUUUGGACAAUUACUUAUGGUUAGAGUUUCCAAUUUUGGCAAGAAUGGAGAAUGGAGAUGGGCGUUUGGUUCGAUUCCAUCAUCACAGUCCAACUCGUUGAUAAUGUGCUGCAGUCCAUAGCAGUGAUAUAUAUUGAGAUGUUCAAGAAGCACCAAGCUUUGAGCAAGGGAUGGUGAGAAGAGAUAUUUCAAGCUGUUGCAAAAACUAAUUGCUAAAUACUUCAGGCUUUGGAGGCGAACAAAAUGGGUGGACCCUUUCCAUAUCCACUUCAAUUCUGGUAAUAAGUGUAGCUCCAUAAGUGCUAAAUUUGACAGCAGCGGUUCUUCUGCAUCAUGAAGAAGCUCAUCUAUUUGAAAUACUUCUUGCAACUGGCCACAAUUAAUAACUUUCACUUCCUUUAGAUCUUGUAGCGCGGGAGAUAAAGAGACCAUUUCCAUGCAAUUCGUUGCUUCCAACUUCUCUAGUUUUUGUAGAAAUCCCUUUGGAAACUGACCGUUGCACAACAUUUUCAAACCAGUCAUUUCUUCUAUUACUAAUUCCACCAAAUUGAAGAAUGUAUUGGUUGAGACAUGGCCUUGUGUUGUAUCAAUCAAGCAUUCCAGCUCCUUGCCAUCUUUAAGUGCAAGAAAAGUUAGUUCAUUCAGUCCCUUUGGAUCUACAUUUGGAACCAGAUUUUUCUGAUACAUGACUCUUGUCAGGGCAAGACUUUUGACAUUGUAUAAUAACUCCUUGACUGCAUUAAUUUCAAUGUCCUGAUACAUUCACAACAAAAUGAAAGAUAUGAGAAUAAUAUGAAUAAAAUUUAAAGAUCUGGGCCAAAAAAAAUAUCUUUUCCAAUGAAAGCUUAUUAAAGUCAAAAAAUAAACCAAAGCUUAGAGUAUCAAUAGUGUAUAUUACACUUACGAGUAGAUGUGAAUGUAGUAAAAAUUAUUGAUGGAAAAUAUGUUUUUUUAUGAGAUAAAUAAUCAAUUUAUAAUUACCAGAAGUAAAACUGAAACGAACACAAUGUUAAAGGAAUUACUUUCAACUGAUAUUGCCACGUAAGUCCUUGUUGAUUUUGGGAAUGACUCAUUACUUGGGGUCGGGCACCAACAUUGGAAGCUUCCAACCCUUUGAAAGAUGGCAACUUGACAAAACAGUUUCUUGGACAAAAGCUCCUCAAGUUUUCUAAGUCUUCAAGUCUUAAAAACUGUAAUUUAGGGAGCAUAAUAUCGUGCUUAUCCUCUUCUUUUGCCAUGUUGAAGACAUGCAUUAGUUGAGGGCAAUCAAUUAUCUGAACCGAUUCCAAGUACGGAAGUCCUUGAGCCAAAGUGAUNUCAAGUUUCCGAGUUGUAGCUGUUGUAGGCAAGGGAGUGCAAUGGCACGAUCAACUCCAUGCUUUUCUUUUGCCACAUUGAAGACUUGUUGCAAUUGAGGAGAAUCGCUUAUCGAAACGAAUUUCAAUCGUGGAGGAACUUGAGCCAAAGAAAUUUGAAAAACAUAUUCCAGUUUUGGACAAUUACUUAUGGUUAGAGUUUCCAAUUUUGGCAAGAAUGGAGAAUGGAGAUGGGCGUUUGGUUCGAUUCCAUCAUCACAGUCCAACUCGUUGAUAAUGUGCUGCAGUCCAUAGCAGUGAUAUAUAUUGAGAUGUUCAAGAAGCACCAAGCUUUGAGCAAGGGAUGGUGAGAAGAGAUAUUUCAAGCUGUUGCAAAAACUAAUUGCUAAAUACUUCAGGCUUUGGAGGCGAACAAAAUGGGUGGACCCUUUCCAUAUCCACUUCAAUUCUGGUAAUAAGUGUAGCUCCAUAAGUGCUAAAUUUGACAGCAGCGGUUCUUCUGCAUCAUGAAGAAGCUCAUCUAUUUGAAAUACUUCUUGCAACUGGCCACAAUUAAUAACUUUCACUUCCUUUAGAUCUUGUAGCGCGGGAGAUAAAGAGACCAUUUCCAUGCAAUUCGUUGCUUCCAACUUCUCUAGUUUUUGUAGAAAUCCCUUUGGAAACUGACCGUUGCACAACAUUUUCAUGCUAGUCAUAUCUUGUAUGACUAAUUCCAGCAAAUUGAAGAAGGCACUGGUUGAGACAUGGCCUUCUGUUGUAUCAAUCAAGCAUUCCAGCUCCUUGCCAUCUUUAAGUGCAAGAAAAGUUAGUUCAUUCAGUCCCUUUGGAUCUACAUUUGGAACCAGAUUUUUCUGAUACAUGACUCUUGUCAGGGCAAGACUUUUGACAUUGUAUAAUAACUCCUUUACUGCAUUAAUUUCAAUGUCCUGAUACAUUCACAACAAAAUGAAAGAUAUGAGAAUAAUAUGAAUAAAAUUUAAAGAUCUGGGCCAAAAAAAAUAUCUUUUCCAAUGAAAGCUUAUUAAAGUCAAAAAAUAAACCAAAGCUUAGAGUAUCAAUAGUGUAUAUUACACUUACGAGUAGAUGUGAAUGUAGUAAAAAUUAUUGAUGGAAAAUAUGUUUUUUUAUGAGAUAAAUAAUCAAUUUAUAAUUACCAGAAGUAAAACUGAAACGAACACAAUGUUAAAGGAAUUACUUUCAACUGAUAUUGCCACGUAAGUCCUUGUUGAUUUUGGGAAUGACUCAUUACUUGGGGUCGGGCACCAACAUUGGAAGCUUCCAACCCUUUGAAAGAUGGCAACUUGACAAAACAGUUUCUUGGACAAAAGCUCCUCAAGUUUUCUAAGUCUUCAAGUCUUAAAAACUGUAAUUUAGGGAGCAUAAUAUCGUGCUUAUCCUCUUCUUUUGCCAUGUUGAAGACAUGCAUUAGUUGAGGGCAAUCAAUUAUCUGAACUGAUUCCAAGUACGGAAGUCCUUGAGCCAAAGUGAUGGGAAACACAUAUCUCAAGCUUUUGCAACUAGCUAUCUCAAGAGAUUUUAAUUUUGGCCAGCACAGAAGAGAGCGUUCCUUGUUUGAAACUAUUUCAUCACCAUUUUCUGCUUCCAUGAUUAAAUGUUUCAAAGAGUUGCUUUCCAUUACCUUGAGUUCUUCCAGAUGCACCAAAGCUUGAGCAAGGGUAGGUGAAAAGAGAUAUUCCAAUUUAGAACACAAACCAAUUCUCAUAGUUUUAAGGCUCUGGAGGUUAACAAGACGAGUGGGUUCUCUCCAUAUGCACUUCAAUUCUGGUAAAGACUCCAACUCCAAACAAAUUAAAUUUGAGAGUGGCGGUGCCUGAUUUUCCUGGCAUAAAAAAUUUAUUAAUUAAUAAUUAUUUAAAUCUGAAUUAAUUGUACUUGUUCAGAAAAGUAUUUAAAUAUUAACGACAUAUAUUUUUAAAAAAUUUAAAAGAAAGUGUAAAAAGCCAUAAUUUACGAAGAUUAGAACACAUGAUUACUUAUAUAUUUGAUAAUUUAACAAAAAGAAAACAUAAUUAGAUAAAGAACAGAUGCUAGAAUUAUUAAAGGAAAAAUGGAGAGAUAAGAGGUACCUCCAGCUCAGCCAUAUCUUGGGCAGAAGCAAAGACUUGCUCUAAUUUCUUGCAUGCAGAUAUCUUGAGUUGUUCAAGAUGCAACAAACUUUGAGCAAGGUAAGUUGAGAAGAUAGAUUUCAGUUUAUCACAACCAUCAACUUUUACAUCUUUCAGACUUUGUAGGCUCACAUAAUGAGUUGGCUCUUUCCAUAUACUCUCCAAUGCCGGUAAUGACUGCAGCUCCAAGCUUCUUAAAUUUAAGAUUGACAGCAUCUGACCAUUCAUUUGAAACACUGAUUGCAGCUGUCCACAAUCGCAAAUGAUCAAUGUUUCUAAGUUUUGUAAGAAGCUAUUCGGUGAUUCACCAUGGCAUAACUCUUUCAAAGAAGUCAUUUUACCAAUGUCUAAGUUCACCAAAUUAGAGAAUGCAGUGGUUGGACUCUGUUCUCGUGUUGUAUCAAUCAAGCAUUCCAGAUCGUCACAAUAUGCAACCUCAAGAGAAGUCAAUUCAUUUAGUCCCCACUGAUCGUCACAAAAGCUCCUCAAGUUUUCUAAGUCUUCAAGUCUUAAAAACUGUAAUUUAGGUAGCAUAAUAUCGUGCUUAUCCUCUUCUUUUGCCAUGUUGAAGACAUGCAUUAGUUGAGGGCAAUCAAUUAUCUGAACUGAUUCCAAGUACGGAAGUCCAUGAGCCAAAGUGAUGGGAAACACAUAUCUCAAACUUUUGCAACGAACUAUCUCAAGAGAUUUUAAUUUUGGCCAGCACAGAAGAGAGCGAUCCUUGUUUGAAACUAUUUCAUCACCAUUUUCUGCUUUGAUGAUUAAAUGCUCCAAACAGUUGCUUUCCUUUAUCUUGAGUUCUUCCAGAUGCACCAAAGCUUGAGCAAGGGUAGGUGAAAAGAGAUACUCCAGUUUAGAACACGAGCAAAUUCUCAUAGUUUUAAGAUUUUGGAGGUUAACAAGAUGAGUGGGUUCUCUCCAUAUGCACCUCAAUUCUGGUAAGGACUCCAGCUCCAAACAAAAUAAAUUUGAGAGUGGUGGUGCCUGAUUUUCCUCAUAUAAAAAAAUAUUAUAAAUUAAUAAUUAUUUAAAUAUGAAUUCAUUGUACUUGUUCAAAGAAGUACUUAAAUAUUAGAGACAUACAUUUUUAAAAAAAUUAAAAGGAAGUGUAAAAAGCCAUAAUUUACAAAGAUUACAACUGAUGAUUACUUAUUUAUUUGAUAAUUUAACAAAAAAAAAACAUAAUUAGAUAAAGAACAAAUAAAAGAAUUAUUAAAGGAAAGAUGGAGAGAUAAGAGGUACCGCGAACUCGGCCAUAUCUUGGGCAAAAGCAAAUACUUGCUCUAAUUUCUUGCAUGCAGAUAUCUUGAGUUGUUCUAAAUGCAACAAACUUUGAGUAAGGCAAGGUGAGAAGAUAGAUUUCAGCUUAUCACAACCAUCAACUUUUACAUCCUUCAGACUUUGUAGGCUUAUAAGAUGAGUUGGCUCUUUCCAUAUAUUCUCCAAUGCUGGUAAUGAGUUUAGCUCCAUAAGUGUUAAAUUUGACAACAGCAAUCCUUGAUUUUCUUUCGUAUCAUGAAGAAACUCAUCUAUUUGAAAUACUUCUUGCAACUGGCCACAAUUAAUAACUUUCACUUCUUUUAGAUUUUGCAGCGCAGGAGAUAAAGAGACCAUUUCCAUGCAAUUCCUUGUUGUCAACUUCUCUAGUUUUUGUAGAAAGCCCUUUGGAAACUGACCGUUGCACAACAUUUUCAAACCAGUCAUUUCUUCUAUUACUAAUUCCACCAAAUUGAAGAAUGCAUUAGUUGAGACAUGGCCUAGGGUUGUAUCAAUCAAGCAUUCGAGCUCCUUGCCACCUUUAAGUGCAAGAAAAUUUAAGUCAAUAAGUCCCUUUGGAUCUACAUUUGGAACGAGACUUUUUUGAUACAUGACUCUAUUCAAGGUAAGAUUUUUGACAUUGUGUAAUAACUCCUUCAAUGCUUGCAAUUGAACGUCCUGAUAAAUUCACAACAAAAUGAAAGAUAUUAGAAAAAUAGAAAGGUAGAUAAUACUCCUUAAAUCAGAAUUGAAUUUUUUUCUAUGCAUCAAAUUUAAAAAUUGAGGCAAAAGAAAACUGUUUUAUCUUUUCAUUGAAAGCUCAUUAAAGUUGAAAAACAUACCAAAGCUUGGAAUAUUCUUAUCUGUAGAUAUUGAUUUACUAAAAGAAAGAUGUUUUUCUAUGAUCAGAUAAAUAAUCAAUUAAUAAUUAUCAAAAGUAAAAUUGAAACAAACGAAAAUAUAACAGAACUACCUUCAAUAGAGACCACGAGCAAAGACUUUCGUGAAUAUGGAAAUGAGCCAUUGAUUCGGGUGGGAGACCAAUAUUGCAAGCUUGGAAUUCCUUCAAAGAUGGCAACAUGACAAAAUAGUUUCUUGGACAAAAGCUCCUCAAGUUUUGUAAGUAUUCAAGUCUUAAAAACUGUAACCGAGGGAGCAGAAUAUCGUGCCCAUCCUCUUCUUUUGCCAUGUUGAAGACAUGCAUUAGUUGAGGGCAAUCAAUUAUCUGAACUGAUUCCAAGUGACGGAAGUCCAUGAGCCAAAGUGAUGGGAAACACAUAUCUCAAACUUUUGCAACUAGCUAUCUCAAAAGAUUUUAAUUUUGGCCAGCACAGGAGAGAGCGAUCCUUGUUUGAAACUAUUUCAUCACCAUUUUCUGCUUCCAUGAUUAAAUGUUUCAAGGAGUUGCUUUCCUUUAUCUCGAGUUCUUCCAGAUGCACCAAAGCUUGAGCAAGGGUAGGUGAAAAGAGAUAUUCCAAUUUAGAACAUGAACCAAUUCUCAUAGUUUUAAGGCUCUUGAGCUUAACAAGAUGGGUGGGUUCUCUCCAAAUGCAGCUCAAUUCUGGUAAAGACUCCAACUCCAAACAAAUUAAAUUUGAGAGUGGUGGUGCCUGAUUUUCCUGGCAUAAAAAAUUUAUUAAUUAAUAAUUAUUUAAAUCUAAAUUAAUUGUACUUGUUCAAAAAAGUACUUGAAUAUUAACGACAUACAUUUUUAAAAAAUUUAAAAGGAAGUGUAAAAAGCCAUAAUUUAUGAAGAUUAGAACACAUGAUUACUUAUAUAUUUGAUAAUUUAACAAAAAAAAAACGUAAUUAGAUAAAGAACAGAUGCUAGAAUUAUUAAAGGAAAAAUGGAGAGAUAAGAGGUACCUCCAGCUCAGCCAUAUCUUGGGCAAAAGCAAAGACUUGCUCUAAUUUCUUGCAUGCAGAUAUCUUGAGUUGUUCAAGAUGCAACAAGCUUUGAGCAAGGUAAGGUGAGAAGAUAGAUUUUAGUUUAUCACAACCAUCAACUUUUACAUCCUUCAGACUUUGUAGGUUCACACGUUGAGUUGGCUCUUUCCAUAUACUCUCCAAUGCCGGUAAUGACUGCAGCUCCAAGCUUCUUAAAUUUGAGAUUGACAGCAUCUGACCAUUCAUUUGAAACACUGAUUGCAGCUGUCCACAAUCGCAAAUGAUCAAUGUUUCUAAGUUUUGUAAGAAGCUAUUCGGUGAUUGACCAUUGCAUAACUCUUUCAAAGAAGUCAUUUUACCAAUGUCUAAGUUCACCAAAUUAGAGAAUGCAGUGGCUGGACUCUGUUCUCGUGUUGUAUCAAUCAAGCAUUCCAAAUCAUCGCAAGAUGUAAGCUGAAGAGAAGUUAAUUCAUUUAGUCCCCACUGAUCUACAUUUGGGACAACAGUUUUGUGUUCCAUGACUUUGAACAAAGUCAGCUUUUGCACAUUGGGAAACAGCUCCUUAAAUGCAUUUAAUGAUGAGCAAUCACUAAUUGUCAAUAUUCUCGAGAUACGCUUCUCCGGAAAUUCAAUAUAUGCAUUUACUGCUAUACUGUAGCUUUGUAGUUUAGGGAACACAAAGUUUUCUUGAAAACAUUGAUCAGUAGAAACAAUCAAUGUUAAUGUAGUCAAACGAGACAAUGAAUUCAACUCCAGUAAGUUAGCAUUGUUGUCUCUCGGCACGUGUAGCUCUUGGAGUGACGUUAACCUGUUACACACAAAUACGAAAUAUCAUUAAGGCUGUAAUAACACUUUCAGGCAAAUGAUAAAAAUGGCUAAGUAAUGAAAUGAAUAAGAUAACAUAAACUUUUUUUUUUUCAUGCUUAGAGAAAAUGUGUGCAUUCCAACCAAAAAAGGCAAGCUUCCAUGAACAAGAACAGAUCACCAAAAGUAUAGAAAGCAGUCCAAUCAUGAUAGUGCAGACCAAAUGGAGUAGCAUGAAUCCAGGAUAGUAAUCAAGCAUGACAAAUCAUCGAAGACAGAGGCCAUAGAAACAAGAGACCAACGUAUCAAACAGUCUCAUAAAAAUCCAACAAGGGAAAGGUGAAUAUAUUCGCACAAUCAGAUUGCCAGCGGGAAACAACAAAAUUAAAUACUUAACUAAAAACAACAAGAUAAACAGUUUUAAUGACAUUUAAGUAUUACCUUGAUAGCAAGUUAGGGGGGACAUUGAUGGGUCCAUCUCCAAAGCAAGAAAAAUAUAGUGACUUUAGUCUAUGCAAUUCCAAUAAUUCUUCAGGUAGCUCUUCAAAGUCAACACUACUCAAUUCUAAAAACUCAAGGUUUUUCAGAUUUCUCAAUGAUGAGAUAUCCUCUUGCAGGCCACACCUUACAAAGCUCAGAAUUCGAAGAUUUUUUAGGAAUUGAAAUGCUUCCAUGGAGAAUACAUGACGUUCAAGAAAUAAAAUUUGGAGGGCUUUCAUUCCUUCAAAAAAUGUACUCGGGACUAUUUGGUAGUCCCUUCCUGAUAAAAUCAAGGUCUUGAGUUUUGAAAAUUCUAAUCUCUCAGGAAAAUUAUCUAUCUUACUAUUCCAUAAGGAGAUUGCUGUAUAACAAUCAAAAUUUUCACUGUUAGGCCAUUCCGUCAACUCAUUUUUUACCAUGAACAUUUUUUCCCCUGUGGAUGUUAUCCAAUGAGCAAAAUCACGAACCACAUCAUGCAUUUUUACAGAUUCUUCAUCAUCAGUUUGCAAUAACAAACCAGACUUUUGGAGUUUGGAUAGUGCUAGACGAAUUUCCCUCCUUAAGUCUUCAAUUAAGUUAAUAUUACCAAACAAUCCCAGACCAAUGCCGAAUACAGUCAACAACGCAACACUAAUCUCUUCAUCUUCUAGAAAAAGAGAACACAACAAGAAACAUGACUGGAUAUUAUCUUCCUUCAAAUAAUCAUAAUUACCUUCCUUCAAAUAAUCAUAACUAAGCUUAAGGCAUUUAUAAAUACCUCCGCAAACAUGUUGAUUAUCCAAAUGUCUUGACUCCUUAAGUCGUAGAUUUGCUGCUAUCCACCCAUCAAGACUUUCACCUUUUAGAGCUUUCGCCAUAGUUACAAUUGCAAGAGGCAAACCCUUGCCUUCAAGAGCAACCUCCUUGGCUACCUUCAAGGUGGGAGAGUUAUCUUUUAGACCAGCGCUAUCUUUGAAUAAAGCCCAUGCUUCAUCGUCAGAUAAGAUUUUGAGGAGAACUUCCCUUUGACAAUGCAUUCGAGUGCAAACUUCUUGAAGACGCGUGGUUAAAAAAAUUUUGCAACCCUUGUGAUCAUCACCGAAUGGAAUUCCAAUAAUCUUCAAGUCAAGUUCUUCCCAAACAUCAUCGAGGAUUAUAAGGAUGCUCUUCUCGUCUUUGAUUCUCAACCACAAUUGUUCUGCUCUUCCUUCUGGUGUCUUCUUUUGAAAAUCUAAAUCUAGGAAGUCUGCAAUUUUAUCUUGAAUAUUGUUGAUGUUUGGAUUUUGGGACACGGUUACAACCUCAACUUUAUCGAAGAGUUGUUUGGCUUGGUUUCCCACUUCUUUUGCCAAAGUGGUUUUACCCACACCUCCCAUCCCAUAUAGUCCAAUCAUGUUCACAUCACCAUUAUUCAGAGCCUCCAUGAUCUCUUUGAAAGCAGAAUUUGAAGAUUCAGAAGACAUGAAAUCCUUAGAUGGAAUGAACUCUAAUCCUGGAAGAGUAGCUCGGUAACCUACUCGUUCAAAAUUAGAAUUCUCUAAAAGUUGAGAGAUACAAAGUGUCUUCUUAGCUACUUUGAUGCUUAAGCAGUAUCGCCAGCCCCAACUAGGACACCAAUUGAAACACUUGUUACGUUCAAUUUCAUCUUCCAAACUCUGAGCUUCUCCCAAUUUUUUCUCUGCCCUUGUUAGCCACUCCUCAACAUCCUUCUCAAUUACCUGAGUUUGCUUUUUUGCCUCAGCGACAUCAUUUUCCACUCGAAUUUUUCUCAAUUCAAGUUGGUUUCGUCGAUUCUUGAAAUCUUCAACAAUUUUGCCAAAACGGAAAAAAUAACUGAGAUAAGGUGAUGCGUAUUCUGUUGCCAGGUUCCCCAUGGUAUUGCUUGCAACAGCGAUGCCAAGUUCAGCCAUUCUUUGAUGAUCUGAUAGUGAAGAGCAAUUUCUAUGAGUAAAAAUUUUACAUAGAGACAAAAACAAUUAGGAAAUGUUUGGAAUGUAUCUUACCCUGGCAACAAUACUUUUUUGAAAUAUGUGAAUCACAAUAGAACAAUUGUCGAUCAACCAACUUGAAAAUUGAGAAUGCUGCACAAGCAGAAAUUAUUCACUGGUCACCAACUCCGGAGAUCAGGAAAGAAAAAUUCAGGAGCAGUCGAAAGCAAAAAAUAGAGUAAGGGUAAUUAAAGAAAUAGAGCAAAGAAAUAGUCUAGAGUUGCAUGGUUUUCUUCUUUUAAGAUAGGAAGCAGAGAAAUCAAAAUACUAAAGCUAGCAGCUAUGGGCUUUUUUUUUUUUUUUUGACCUUUGUGGAGCCAAGGAAAGGAAAAGUAGGAAUCAGAGAACAGAUUUAAUCAAAAUACCGAGGAAAUAUAUAAGAAUUUUCAGGAGCCAAGAUCAAGGGACUGACAAAGUCGGUGAAGUUUCUUUGAGUUCAAAGAUAACUGAAGGCCAAGGAAUUAAUGCAUACAAAUAAUUCUGCUUUUCAUAGCAAAAACAGUCCUUAAAUAUACAAAGUAGGAACUCUGAGGCAGGAGGAUUUUUUUUUUCUUUUACAUGUUAGAGUAAAAGCAUAAUAUUAUCAUUCUAUAAAAUAAUCUCUUAACAUUCAAAAUAUCUAUAUAUUUAGUUUUUUCUCAAUAACUACAGCUUUUAUUUGACAAUGUUGUAAUUUGGAAAUAGAAAAUAUCUAGUCAAAUGUAAGACCAAAUAAAUAAAUCAUAGAAGAGAAAGAUGAACAUUUACAUACCAAGGAAAGCUAUAGAUGAAGUUUCAGGAGCAAGACAGAGCAGCUUCUAUUUUGAUCCACGCAAUCUCACAAAGUCGGUGAAGUUCGUUUUUUAUCUUUUUAAGUUCAGAAAAAACUGGAGUAGAAAUAAACUUUGCACUGCAAUGAUCAGAAGGCCAGCGAAUUAAAAAAAUAUUAGACUUUCACUUAUCUUCUGUUUAAUGCAUAUAGAUAAUUCUAUUUCUGACAGAGCAAAACAGAAAAAGCAAAGUAAACAGAGCAACUCAGAUGUUAAGAAUAUAGAAAGUAGAAACUCUUAAGCCAAGAGGAAUUUUUUUUCUUUCCCUAAAACAAAGAGAUGAGCUUAUGUAAGCAAAUUAAUAUACUGUAAAAGGUGCUGAAAUCCUUUCUUGAAACUUACCUCUCUAUUCUCACCACUUGAAUGUGAAAGGGUAAGAGACACACAAAGUUUCUAGCUCUCUGCUUCACACAAAUGCCAUGGGUGUAGUUUAACUGUAGAAAAACAAAACAGUUAAUUUGGACAUAGAAGAUAAUUAAGUGCCGAUUUUGCAUGUAAAGUUUGCAGAUGUAUACUCAAUUGCAAAAACCAAGACAAAAAUAAGCCAUGGAAGAAAAUGAUGCAUAUAUAUACCAAGGAAAGAUGAAGUUUCACGAGCCAAGGCCAAGCUUUUCAUAAGUGAUCGAAGAAAACUCAAGUAGAAAUCAAGUUUGUACUGCAAUAACCAGAAGCCCACUAGCAAAGGGAAUUAAGAAACAACAAAUAUCUGUCAAUCUAAGAUGAAAAGAAUAACUUAAUUUGACAAUAGAAAAUACGUGUCAAUGCAUCUAAACUUUCAAAUAUCUAAACUCAAAUGUAAAGCCAAGACAAAUAAACCACAGAAGAAGAGGAUGAACAUUUACAUACCAAAGGAAAUAUACAUGAACUUUGAGGAGUCCGGACAGAGCUUCUAUUUUGAUCCAGCCAAAAUGUAUUACAGACACUGACAAAGUCGGUGAAGUUUUUUUUUUUUUUGAGUUCGAAGAAAACUGAAGAAGAUAUAAUAAACUUUGCACUGCAACGAUCAGAAGGCCAGGAAAUUAAAAAAACAAAAAGACUUUCACUUAUCUUCUUUAGAAUGCAUGCAGAUUAUAAUUCUCCUUCUGAAUACAAAAACAGUAGUUGAACAUAGAAAGUAGAAACUCUCAAGGCAAAGACUUGUUUUCUUUGGAAUCUCUUUUUCUUUUUAUUGUUACUAUUUUUUUCUUGCUCAAAUGCUUAGUGGAAGACAAGGUCCCCAAUGUCUUUUGCCUAAUCAUUGACUAGUUCUCUCUCAGACAGAUAAGAAAAGAACAAAGAAAAAAAAAAGAAAAGGAUGGAGUCAUGGAGAUGCUCUGCUAAGGACCCUGCUGUUUGGCUUUCCAGGAAGUGUUAUGGAAAGAGGAUGGAAAUCUAUCUUCUUGGUUUAGUUUCUUCUAUGCUUUGCUUUCAUGAUCUUAUCUUUUACUAUUUUGUAAGCUUUUUGAAUAUUAAAAGUUAUGAAUAAAAUAAUUUUUACAAAUAAUUCUAAAUUUGUUAUAAGUAAAAAGUCAAGUAUUGUCCAACCAAGUAAUUACUUGAGCAAUAUGUAAACCUUUAUCAUGAGUAAGAAUAAUUUUAUACAUGUAUUUAUGUCAUGUCAAGGUUCCGACGCAGUAAACAGUAGCUUGAUUAUCCAGCUGAUACAUUCUUUUAACAUCUCUACAUAUAUUUAUGGUCUUUGCCUCAAGACAUAAAGAAAUUAGUGGAGAGUAAUUGACAUAAGUGGCCAUUUUUUAUUGAAUUCAAGGAAAAUGACUUCACAACUUCUAUCAUGACUUUGCAUUGAGUUAUGCUAAUGAAGCACAGUUUUCUCUAUACCAAAUUUACCAUGAUUUCGAAAGCAAGUUCACACCUUCAAUUCAGUUUUUCCUUUUGGUCUUACGGAUUGGAGAAGAAAACUGAUCUAUCAAGAGUUGUCUCUUUUUCUUUAUCAGUAUUUUCUUGAUGAUAUGAUUUUUCGUUGUCAUUUCCUGUCUUCUUGUUGCGUACCCUUCUAUUUUGCUUCAAACAAUUUUUUUUUUUCAUUUUCUCAUUAAUUAAGAAGAUAAAGAUUACCAAUGGGACAUAGACAUCAUUUCUAUCAAACCUUUUGAAUUAUUGAUCUAAUCCCUUUAUUAUUGCGUUUUAGAUUUUUGUCAUUUUGCAAUCAUUUUUCCCUUGGAGGUCCAUUUAUUUCUGACUUUCUUGCUUGGUAGGUUUAAUGGCUUUCAUGGAAAAAUACUUGCCCUAUUUUUUUUUUUUUGGGAUCAAAUUCUGUGUUUAAGGGAUUGAAGCUUUACACUUCGUUUAACACAAGGAAAAAUGGCGAAAUACAUCAAACGAUUCACACAGUGCAAGGAUCAUGUUUUGCAUGGAGAGAAGUAGAGGGUCAAGGUACAUCUCUUUAUAUUUAUGGUCUUUGCCUCAAGACAUAAAGAAAUUUGUGGAGAGUAAGACAACUGGCGAGUUUUUAUUGAAUUCAAGGAAAGUGACUUCACAACUUCUAUCAUGACUUUGGAUUGACUUAUGCUAAUGAAGCAUAGUUUUCUCUAAACCAAAUCUAUCAUGAUUUUAAAAGCAAGUUCACACCUUCAAUUCAAUUUUUCUUUUUGGUCUUACGUCUCUUUUUCUUAAUCAGUAUUUUCUUGGUUAUAUGCAUUUUCGCUGCCAUUUCCUGUCUUCUUUUUGCUUAUCCUUCUAUUUUGCUUCAAACAAUAAUUUUUUUUCAUUUCUCAUUAAUUAAGAAGAUAAAGAUUACCAAUGGGACAUAGACAACAUUACUAUCAAAGCUUUUCAAUUAUUGAUCUGAUCCCUUUAUUAUUGUCUUUUAGAUUUUUGUCAUUUUGCAAUCAUUUUUCCCUUGGAGGUCCAUCUAUUUCUGACUUUCUUCCUAGGUCGGUUCAAUGGCUUUCAUGGAAAAAUACUUGCACUUUUUAUUUUAUUUUUUGGACUAAAUUCUGUGUUUAAGGGAUUGAAGUUUUACACUUUGUUGAACACAAGAAAAAAUGGCGAAACACAUUAAAUGAUUCAUAUAGUGCAAGGAUCAUGUUUUGCUUGGAGAGAAGUAGAGGGUCAAGGUACAUCUCUAUUUUUUGAACCAUCAUUUACAGAUACUUAGGAACGUUUUCCUCCAAGGCUGGUAAUCUAAUACAAGAAAGAAGAUCAUCUAAGCCUAAUUUGUUCUAAUCAAAACUAUUUUGAAUUAAUUUCCACUAAAAAAAUUAAGAGCUUCAAGGAAUAACCCGACCUAUCAAACUUGAUUUAAAUUCAAAAAUGGUAUAGAAUUGAUCAGUGUAUUAAUAUGUUAUAAAUUGUUAUGAAAAUUACUCAAAAACAAUAAAGAUAAAAUUCAGCAAAAUCAAGCAAACAUAAAAAUAUAAAAAUUUACAUGAUUCGACUUGUUGUCUACGUCUAUGGAGUAAAACUGUAAAACCAAGACAAAUAAACCAUAGAAGAAGAGGAUGCAAAUCAAAAGAAAUAUACAUGAACUUUUGAGGAGCUUCUAUUUUGAUCCAGCCAAAAUAUAUUACAGACAUGCACUGACAAAGUCGGUGAAGUUUUUUUUUUUUUUUUGAGUUCGAAGAAAACUGAAGUAGAUAUAAUAAACUUUGCACUGCAACGAUCAGAAGGCCAGGAAAUUAAAAAAACAAAAAGACUUUCACUUAUCUUCUUUAGAAUGCAUGCAGAUUAUAAUUCUGCUUCUGAUAACAAAAACAGUAGUAAUAUAUAGAAAUUAGAAACUCUUAAGGCAAAGACCUGUUUUCUUUGGAAUCUCUUCUUCUUUUUAUUGUUAGUAUCUUUUUCUUGCUCAAAUGGUUAGUGAAAGACAAGGGCCCCAAUGUCUUUUGCCUAAUCAUUGACUAGUUCUCUCUCAGACAUAUUAGAAAAGAAAGAAAGAAAAGGAUGGAAUCAUGGAGAUGCUCUGCUGGUUGGCUUUCCAUGAAGUGGCAUGGAAAGAGCAUGGGACUUGCGAGGAUGUUAAUGUAUAGAAAAUUUUUGAAAUUCUGCUUCAAAUGUCUUUGAAUGAAAAACAUAAACUUAGUGUUAUUUAUGAUUCUUUUGUAAUUAAGUAAUACUUGGUAAAUUCUCCUCUAAUAAUGAGUAAUGACCUACUUUUCAAAGCUUUUUUUGAACUUGUUGCCUGCCUAAAUCUUUUAAGUUGGACAUAGAAAAUAAUUAAUUUAGUGCCAAUCUUGGGUGUACGACAAUCACAGAGCCAUAGAAGAAAACCAAGAAAUGAUGUAUACUCAAAUGCAAAAACCAAGAGCCAUAGAAGAAAAUGAUGCACAUAGAUGGUUGAGUUUUAAGUUGACUAGAAUUGUAGAUCUUAUUUGAUUAGGAUUCUUGUUUGUGUACAACAUUGAGUAGUUGUAUGGUUUUAAACUUCUUAUUCCACAUUGAGUCAUAAUCACAUUCUACUUUGGACUUUUAUACUAUAAAAGUGGAUAUUUAGGUUUUAGAAUUGCAAGUAGUGCUUUGAGAGCUUUAGAGAGGGAACACCUUGUAACUCUGUUUUUUACUCUAGGUGGAGCUAGAGUGGUUUGGGUGAGUGUUCUUAGGAGGUUAUUGAGAAAAAGUGUGCAAGGGAUCUCGGGUUGGUUUGGGGAACCAUAAAGGUCAAUUUAUUGUACUUUAAUUUCUCAAUAAUAGAAAGAACAGUUUCAAUCCAUGGACGUAGGUAAGAGACCAAAUCACGUAAAUUCUUGUGUUUUUCUGUUUGCUUAAUUUCUCUAGGUUUUAUCUUUGUUGUUUCUUAGGCAAUUUCCACAACAAACUAGUAUCAGAGCUUCGAGUUCAAUAAAUUCAAGAUUUAAUAAAGAUGUCGAAAGUUACUAGUUCUACAAAUUUUUCAAUUGAGAAGUUUAAUGGGAAGACUAGUUUCACGCAGUGGCAGAGAAGGAUGAAAGACCUCCUUGUGCAGCAAGGUUUAAUGCGCCCCUUGCUAGGAAAAGAGGAAAGGCAACCAAAUGACAUGAAGGAUGUUGAAUGGGCAGAGUUGGAGCAAAGGUGUGUAAGCACUAUUCGACUUUGCAUUGGAGAUAACGUGUUUAACCAUGUUAUUGAUGAGGAUUCUGCUCCAAGGUUAUGGGCAAAGUUAAAGAAGAUUUACUUGGCGAAAAGUCUUUCCAACAAGUUGCAGCUUAGGUGAAAGUUGUAUCGCUUAAAGAUGGAGGAGAAUAGAGACCUCAUGAAGCAUAUGAACGAAUUCAAUGGGAUCAUUGAUCAGUUGAAGAAGGUUGAUGUGAAGGUGGAGGAAAAGGAAAAGGCACUGUUGUUCCUAGCUUCGCUUCCAGACUCCUUUGAGGUACUUGUGGAAUCUCUAAUAUGUGGGAUAGAUACAAUAACGUUAGAAUAAGCACAAGCAACGUUAAUGUCUCGUGAAGCCCGAAAGAAAAGUAAAGAAGGGGAUAGAGAUCCAAGUGGCUUGGCAUUGGUAACUGAGGUUUAUAGGAGGAAGUCAACCGGUAAGGGAUUUAAGGGUGGCAAGUCUAGAUCCAACAAUGUUCAGUGCUUUCAAUGCAAAGGGUAUGGACAUAUUAAAAUGGAUUAUCCUACAAAAAAGGAUGAAAGUAAUGAGAACAAAGGUGAGUGUGCUUUCAUUGCUGAAGGUGAUGAUUGUGAUGUCCUUACAAUUUCGAAAAAUAUGGAUGCAAAUUCUGAUUGGUAUUUAGAUUCUGCUUCUACUACUCACAUAUGUUAUCAAAAAGAUUGUUUUGAUUUACUUCAAGAAGGGGUGGCUGGGAAUUUGAGUUUGGGUAAUAAGUCAAUAGUGAAGGUCAUGGGUCUUGGAGUGGUGAAAAUCAAAAUGUUUGAUAGGGUUGUGUGCUCUUUGGGUGGUGUGGCCUAUGUCCCAGAGAUGCGUAAGAAUCUAAUAUCAUUGAGCCUGUUAAACUCUAAAGGGUAUGGAUAUUCUGCUUGUGAUGGAGUGGUAAAAGUCACAUAAAGCAACAUGGUCCUAAUGAGGGGGAAUUUGCAUAAUGGCUUAUAUUGUCUAAAAUGUGAGGCCUUGAAGGGAUGAGAAUAGUGCACAGGAGAUGGUAGCUACCAAAGUGAGAUUUCAUUUGCUGAGGAGUUGAUGAAAGGUUCCCAUGGUGUAGACGAUGGUGAAAGGAUGAAAAAUCUUGCCAAUAGUGAAUUAGGAGGGUCGUCGAGGUCCCUUUCCGAAGUCAAUUAGUGCCAUUGACUUGACUGCUACACAUGUGCAUUGGCUGUUUUGUGGAAUCGAGUGUUGGACCAUGUUUGAUUCGAUAUGUGUAGUCGUGGUAAUUAUAAAGGCCAAUGAUUUGGAAAGUCUUAUGCUUGGAGAGUUGUUCAAGGUGUUGGAAAGUAGGUGGAGUUAGGAAAUUGCAAAUAGGUGCAACUGGUGGAAGAAGUUUAAGGAGUUUGAAUUCAAGUCAAAGGUGGAGAUUUGUUGAGUUUUAGAUUGACUAGAAUUCUAGAUCUUAUUUGAUUAGGAUUCUUGUUUGUAUACAACAUCGAGUAGUUGUUUGGUUUUAAACUUCUUAUUCAACAUUGAGUACUAAUCACAUUCUACUUUGGACUUUUAUACUAUAAAAGUGGAUAUUUAGGUUUUAGAAUUGCAAGUAGUGCUUUGAGAGUUCUAGAGAGAGAACACUUUGUAACUUUGUCUUUUACUCUAGGUGGAGUUAGAGUGGUUUGAGUGAGUGUUCUUGGGAGGUUAUUGAGAAAGAGUGUGCAAGGGAUCUCGGGUUGGUUUGGGGAACCAUAAAGGUCAAUUUAUUGUACUUUAAUUUCUCAAUAAUAGAAAGAACAGUUUCACUCCGUGGACGUAGGUAAGAAGUCGAACCACGUAAAUUUUUUUAUUUUUCUGUUUGCUUAAUUUCUUUAGGUUUUAUCUUUAUUGUUUCUUGGGUAAUUUUCAUAACAUAUAUUUUGGCUGAAUUACGAUAAUCAAAGAAACAAGUGGAAAUCAAGUUUGCACUACAAUAAUCAGAAACCCGCUAGCAGAGGGAAUUAAGAAACAUCGAUUUAUUCUUCUUCGUCCAGCGGAAACACUUCAAUACAAGAGAGAAAAUUUUGAAUAAAUGAUGUGAUCGUUCUAUCAUUGUCCUUUCUAUUUUUGUCAUUUUGCAAUCAUUUUUCCCUUGACGUCCAUUUAUUUCUCACCGACUUGUUUCCUCUGUUUAAUGGCUUUCAUGGAAAAAUACUUUACCAUAUAUGGUACAAGGGAAGAGAGAUUCCCGGAGCUUUCAUAUAGAUUUUUGUUCCCUUUAUUUACUCCAACUCCCCCUUUACUUACUCCUUAUUGAUGAAAAGGCGAGACAGACUCACAGCUUUUGUCACGACCCGGAACUCCCAUCGGGCCCGUGACAACCGCCGCGACGUUUAGAUAGGCACUCAUUAUCCCGAAUGCCGAUUGGAACCCCGCAAGGCUUAGCAUCAGCUUCAGCAUCUCCCCGGUGAGCGACAGUUAUUAAAUCUUGCAUUUAAAAAAAAUCAUAAGUCGUUUCCAAAUCAAAACAAUAAAAUAUUAUUUUUUGGCUCAUAGGGAUAUUUUUGUCAUUUUUCUUCGAUAAUACCGAAACUCGCAAAAAACAUGGUGUAAAAGCUUAAUAUGUUCAUACAUAUUUUAAAUCAAAUAACUAAAGUAUAAAAUUACUUUUACAAUGACACGUGGACCCCUAACUAACCAAUAAGAUGCGAGUCUGUGAACCUAUAAUUUUGACAAUGCAAGGCUAACUGAAGUCCUUGAUGUAAUCGGCUAUCUACCGGCUAUCCCGAACCUGAAAUGUGGGGAAUUGAGGGUGGUGAGAUUAUAAAAUCCUAGUGAGUAAACAUACACUAUCUAAACUAUCGAAAGGCAAGUAAAUGGAGACAAUUAAAAAAUAAUUAACUUCAGCAAAUUUUUCACAUCACGAAUAUUCAUUUCAACCAAAUAAUCAAUAUGGCUCGUGAAUUACUCAAAACUUAGCUCAUGCCAAAUCUUGUACUCGAUGACACCUAGACCAGGGGUAUCUAACCGAGCCCUCCAAGGUUGUUAAAAAUUCAUAUUUCGCAUAAAUCAUAUUUUUAUUUUGAAACAUAGCCAUUCCUUGGCGUUGGCUGAGUCUCACUCUCACGCGGUGGUCCACGUUAAGUGCACUCAAAAAGCCCACCUCAGGAGAUACUCUACGCGCCUCUACGACUGAUGUGAGAAUAUAAAGGAGUUUACCGUGCCCCUCUAAUAGGCUGGCCCACGGAUCCCCCCACCACUGCAGUAGCUAAUCUUUUUAUCUACCACCUGAUUUAUAAAAUCUUUUUCUGCAUGACAUGGCAAUUUGUCGCAACCUAGCCUCUCAAGGCUAAAUACACAGUACAAAUAAUUCUAACACCAAAAUCAGUUUAGCCAUUCAUGCUCAUUUAUUGUCAUAAGCCAUUCAAUUUAAAACCAUAAAUUUACAACACAAGUAGGCAGUCUCCAAUUACUCUAUUUUCAAAACCAGUAUUCGAUUUUUUAGAAAAUUUAUAAAAUCAUUUUAUAAAAUCACAAUUUCUCUUAAAACAUAGCAAUUUACUAUUUAAACCCAUUUUCCAUAAAAUCGCACAAUUGUAUAAAACUACUCUAGAUAAUUAAGACGAUAAUAAGUUUACUCACAUUUUUCGAAAAUUAAAUUCGGGUACUCCAACUAUUACUCCUCGAGUGCGAUUUCUUUGCCCUUGCUAGAGGAUUCGCCACCUUGACAAAUUGUACAAUUAAGAGGUUUACUACUUUGAUACUAAACCAAAAUAAACUAAUUUAUACUACUAAUGCAUGAUAUGAAGUGCAAAAUGUCUAAAUUUUACCUAAACAAGAUGUUAGCCUAUUUCGGUCUUUUACCCGAUAAAUCGAUAUACGCAUCCGUUUAAACUCCAAAUUAAUUUUUUUUAAUUUCUAUACCUCAAUUCCACCCAAAUUGACUUAAUGUUCCUCAGUGUGGUGCAAAUUAACAGUCUUGAUAGCAAAUUACGAAAAUACCCCUAGUGGGUAAAAAUUCAUAUUUUUACUCCGAAAAUUCCCAUUAUUUUUCUAGGCUCAUAAUUCAUCAUUAUUUAUUAUAAUUCCUCAAAUAAACAUCAAGAUCAGCAGCCAAUAUUCUCCUAUAAAAUUCAGCAUAAUGGGUUUCAAUGGGAGAAAAUUAUUUCUCUAGCUUAUUUUUGCUAUAUUUCAAUUUAACCUAACUAAAAUCACUUAAUUCAAUUAAAAUCAACCAAAACUCAAGUUCAAAACUCAUACAUGGAGGUUUGGCCAGCAUGGGUGUCCAUACCCACUUUCUAAUUUUGCAUGGAAAUGAGAAAAAAAUGCAUGGGUAGUGAAAAUCACAAGGAAAAUCAAUGAAAUUUACCUUUUUAAUGCUUGAUUUCUUGAUUUCUCUUGAUUUUCCCCAAAUUUUUUGGUAGGGUUCUUAUUUGUUUUUUUCCCCCUUUUCUCCCCUGGUUUGGACAGCUGAAGAAGAUGAGAAUUCUGGAAUUUUUACCUUUUUAAAGGCUAAAAUAAUAUAAUAUUAUUUUAUUCAUUUUUUUAAUGUUUUAUUAAUUCCUUAAAUUCCAGCCAUCCAUUUAUUUCCAAAUUUCACCAUACACUUGUCCCACCAUAUCCAUAGCUUAGAUAAAAUUCUCAGACUUAUCCAAUCAGAUUCGAAAAAUGAGAAAGAAAGAAAAAGUGUGGAGUAAUUUUUGAAAUUUACACUUUUGCCCUCGUAAAAGUCAAAAAUUACAUUUUUACCCCAAAAACUGAAAAAUUGCCCAUAGACAUAUUUUUCAUCCCUUAUACUCAUACCAUUCUCCAAUUUGUCAAAUGUGAUCUAAAUUCUCUCAAAAUCUCAAAUUUUGUCCGCGAGUGAAAAAAUUACGAUUUUGCCCAUACACUCCAGAAAUAACCGAAAUUAAACUUUUUCACUGCCAAACCCUCAGAUUAUACUCCAAUACUCAAAUCAUACUCCAAUAAGUUAAAUGUGGCCAAAAAAAUCUUUUCUCAAAAUUCUCAUUUUAUCCCCAGGUGGCAAAUGACCAUUUUGCCCCUAGAUAGUGAAAAUUUCAGUUUGACUCCAAAUUGAUCCUCGAACUCCGAAUUACCAUUUUGAGUCAUCCCUGAACUGUGAAACUCUUAAUUUCACCUCAAAAUUCCUAUUUGAACUAGUUCGAGGCUUAAUCGACUUAAUGGUACCAUAAGGGGUAAUAUCGUCUUUUAACGAUUUCUCGAACUUCCUAAACAUGCAAACAUUCUAUUGAGUAUAUAAAUAACGUCGUAAUUAUUUUAUAGAACAGGGUUUGACAGCUUUUUCUGUGUCAUUGAUGCUUAGUUAGAAUGACUAAUCGACGGCUUCCAAUUAUGUUGCUAUUUUCGUAAUUUUUUGAUCUACCUGGUUGGUUUAAUGGAUUUCAUGUUAAAACACUUGCACUAUUUAUUUUAUUGUUGAGCUAACUUUUGUGAUCAAAUUAUGCACCCAAUGGAUUUAAAAAUAUUAUUUGAUGAAUGUACAAAAAUAGGUAGCAAUGAACAUAUAGCAUGUUAGUACUGACUAUUGAGAUUGUAAUCGAUUAUUGUGAUAAAAUAUUAUGACUGAAAACAAACGGAUAACAAUCUGAAAUGCCUGUAGGAACCUGCUGAAAUGCAUACCUAGCUUUUUGACCACGCUUGUCAUCUGAAAAAUGGGAAAGCCCAAGCAAUAAUAUACCUAUUUUCUUCUUUUUCUCCUCCUUGGAGUUAAAAGAGAAGCAAAAAUGAAGAUAAAUCCUUCUUGACUUGGAAGUUGCAUGUGGGAACAAUGUCAAAACUUAAAAAUGGAAAAGAAGGAAAUGAAGAAGGAAAGUAUGCACGGACUAAGCAACUGGCUGCACAUUCUUAGAAUGGAACACAAUAUUAAUGUCACCAUUAACUGAGAGUAUAUUGUCAUUGACUAAGUUUUUUGGCUAAUUCCCUCUCAAAGAAAAAAAAAAUAAGAAUGGAGAUGCUCUGAUAAAGAAAAUUCUAACUAAUGUAAAAUUAUUGGCUUCAUGUUUGUGAUCCUAAUCAUAUUAAUGUCUUCUCUAUAAAAAUUUUAAAAAAUUAAAUUACUUUAAUGAUGCAUAAAUUUCUCAUAAAUUUAACAUUAUUUAAAAAGGUAAUUUAGUUGACACCUUUGAUUGUCUCUUUUGUAAUUGAGCAUUACUCAGUAAAUUUUAAAAAAAUUUUGUGAACUUGUUGUCUGUCUAAAUCAUUUAAUUUAGACAUAGAAAAUAAUUUAAUGUCAAUUUUACAUGUAAAGUAUGCAGAUGUUUACUCAAAUGCAAAAACCAAGAGCCAUAGAAGAAAAUGAUGCACAUAUAUACCAAGGAGAGAUGAAGUUUCAGGAGCCAAGGCCAAGCUUUUCUAUAUUGAUCAAAGAAAACUCAAGUAGAAAUAAACUUUGCACUACAAUAAUCAGAAGCCCACUAGCAGAGGGAAUUAAGAAACAACUGUUAAUUCUUCUCUUCGGCUAGCAAAAGCACUUGAAUAUAGAAAUUUUUGAGUAAGUGAUAUGAUCCCUCUAUUAUUGUCCUUUAAUUUUUGUUAUUCUGUAAUCAUUUUUCCAUUGAGAUCCAUUUAUUCUCACCUACUUGCUUGCUCUGUUUAAUGGCUUUCAUGAAAAAAUACUGUAUCAUAUAUAAUUAAGAGGGAGAUUUUCAAAACUUUCGUGGUUUAGAGAUUAGUAUAAUAAAUAAAAGAAUAUGUGACAAUAUUUUAAUCUAAUUUGUGGUUUAGAAACUAAACUGAAAAUGUAUAAAAUAAUAUUCUUAAAAUUAUUCUGAAAAGGCACUCUAUAGGUAAAUCUCUACUUUUUGAACUAUCAUUUACAGAUCAUAUUUUUUUUUCCCCCACAUUUGAUUCCUUGUUCUUUAUCAGAAAAUCAUGCCUCUUCCUAAUCUCUGUAUCUGUCUCAUUAUUUCAUUGGGAGGGUAAAAGAAAAUGAAUCCCCCUUUCUCCUCAAAGAGAAUGUGAUAGUGGGUCCACACUCUGAAAAAUUGUCUGUAUGAAGGAAGAAAUAGUUUUGGUUAGUCGCGACCUACUUUCUGAAAAAUUGCUGGACUCUUGUCCUGAGAGAAUUAAGUUUAAGGUGGGAACCGAAUUUAUCAAAGCAAAAGGGAGAUUCUCGGAACUUUUUUGAUAAUUUUGAUUCAUUGUGGAAUCAAACACAAUAUCAAUGUCACUAUUUAUGGAGAGUGUAUUGUCAUUAAAAAAGUAUUUAUUGACUAAUUUUCUCUCAAAGAAUAAAAAAAGGAUGAAGAUGCUCUGUUGAAGGAAAUUUUAAUUAAUGUAAAAUUGAUUUCAUAUUUGUGAUUCUAAACAUAAUAAUAUCUUUUUCAUAAAAUUUAAAAAAUUAAAUUAUUUUAAUAAAUAAAAUAUAAAUUUUCACUAAACAAAAUUUUAAGCAUAAUAUCCAACACCUUUAUCCUUGGAGGCCAAUCCCUGUGAGAACAACAACCAGAGCAGGGCGCGAGCAAGCACCCACUAGGAGAAUAAACAAAAUUGAUCACAUAAAGGACCCCUGUAACAAAAGACAAAUUCAGUGUGAACAAUCAACAAAAGUUGGCCCCCAGAAGCAAUCAAAAAACUUGUCAAGAGCAGCUGCAAAAGAAAUGAAAGUCACACUUUUUAUUUUUUCUUUGUGCUCCUAUAUAAGCAAAUGGGCGGUGGAAUCAUCGAUUCACUUUUGAAUUAUUAAUAUUUUUUUAUCAUUUUUUAAUUACUUUUCAGUAUUUAUUUUUAACCAACUUAAUUAGUUUGUAUGAAAAACAAUUAAUUCUCUUUGUAAGCAAAAACUAUUAUUAUUAUUUCGUAAAUGUUGUUAAGAGUAAACACUACACUUGAUUAUCCUUAUUUAUAAUUCAUUUGUAAUUAAACAUUAUUUGGUGAAUUCUCUUGUAAUAAAGAGUAAUGACUUACUUUUAAAAGCUUUUUGUGAACUUGUUGCCUGCCUAAAUCAAUUAAGUUGGACAUGGAAAAAAAUUUAGUGCCAAUUUUGCAUGUAAAGUUUGCAGAUGUAUACUCAAAUGCAAAAACCAAGAGCCAUAGAAGAAAAUGAUGCACAUAUAUACCAAGGAAAGACGAAGUUUGAGGAGCCAAGGCUAAGCUUCUAUUUUUAUCAAAGAAAACUGAAAUAGAAAUCAAGUUUGCUCUACAAUAAUCAGAAGCCCACUAGCAGAGGGAAUUAAGAAGCAACAGUUAAUUCUUCUUCAGCUAGCAAAAACACUGGAAUACAGGAGAUAAAAUUUCGAAUAAAUGAUGUGAUUCCUUAUUAUUGUCCUUUAUAUUUUUGUCAUUUUACAAUCAUUUUUUUCUUCAGAUCCAUUUAUUUCUCACCUACUUGCUUAAUGGCUUUCAUGAAAAAAUAGUUGAUGCCAAAAACGAAACCUUAUCCUUCAAUAACCAGAAAUCAACUUUGCACUACAAUAACCAGAAGCCCGCUAGCAAAAGGAAUUAUGGAACAACCGUUUAUCCUUCUUCAGGUAGCAAAAACAAUUGAAUACAGAAACUCCAAGGCAGGAGAGAAAAUUUUGAAUAAAUGAUGUGAUCCUUCUAUUUUUGUCAUUUUGCAAUCAUUUUCCCCUUGAGCUUCCAUGUGUUUCUCACCUUUAAAUAGUAUUAUUCUUUCAAACAAAAGAAUACCAUCGAAAACAGGAGCCACAGCCAUUUGGCCAUUAGAUAGUUGAUGCUCCUCCCAUCUUUUUCCUUUCUUCUUGUGGUCUAUGAGGUGAUCUCUUAUCCAAAACUGAAAACGAAACAUCAAUUAAGAUGCUGGGUAGUAAAUAGGUGAAGCUUUCUUUCCAUUCUGAUGCAGUCACAGGUCCUAAUUUGCACAUCCUUUUCUUCUGAGUGAGCUGUCAUUAGUCACGGUAUCAUGUAGAAGGGUCUAUUUCAUUAAUAAAAUUGUUGAUUUUCAAAAAUAUAAAAUAAAAAUAUUUAAAGAGUGUUAUAGCCUUUUAUUUUGCUUUAAACUUUUUUUAUUUUUUAUUAAUUAAAAAGAUGAAAAUUGACAGUUUCUUUGUAGCUUUUGUCAAUGCGACAAGACAUUAUAUUGAUACCUACAAGUAUGAGUAAUUGACGUGAUCUCUCUAUUAUUGUCCUUUAUGUUUGUUAUUUCCCUGUUGUGUACAUUUAAUGGCUUUCAUGAAAAAAUCUCUCUCUGGCUACAAACUUGAUAGGACCAAAGGAUUAGAAUACCGAUAUCAACCAACCAAUUUACUAGAUAAUGGAUGCAUAUAUGGACAAAUAUAUUUAUAAAUAUUGAUAAAAAAAGUGUAAAAAUGAUGAAAAUAUACAGUAAAUGUUAGAAAUUUAGAAUCAAAUUUAGCAUAUGUUUAUACAUAUUUUAGAAUUAUAGUAUAAAAAUUAUAUCAUACUAAUUAACUCUACACAUAGUAUAUUGUUAAAUAUUUAUAGGGUAAAAAAAAAUCUCUAUUAUAUUAUAAUUUAUAUUAUAAAUAUGGAAAUAAAUUGAAGCUAAUUUGUGAAAUAUUGAUUUCCAAACCCAAAUAUUAAAAGCCGAACCGAUUAAUAAUACCUAAUACCAUAUUGAAUUCUAAUUAAUUGAAAAUAUUUGGCUUCAUGUUUAUGCACCUAAACAUAAUAAUAUCUUCUUAGUAAGAUUUCAAGAUAUUGAAUCUUUAUAAACCUAUUGAAAAUAGAAUAAAAAUCAACAAGCGUCAUUUGAAUUACUUUAAUGAAGCAUAAUGUAACAACUCAAGUUCAAGUAUUCGUCUAGCAACUAAGCCACGUGGUCCUCAAGUUGCUAAUAAUAAUGGAUUUGAAUUGUUAUAUAGGUUUUAACAAUCAUAUUCACAUAAGAUGUAGGCAAUGGAGUAUCACAAUCCCACUCAUUGAAAUCCUUGAUGUUCUUAUUAAGGCAUUCGCAAGACCAAGAUCCCCCACGUCAAACUGGUGUAAGCUCUGAUGCUAUUUAUAACAACCUAAAUCUAAGCACUAACCCAACAACCUUUUAGGCUUCAGUCGCAUGAUUCUUAAAAGCUCAAGUUCUAGUAGUAAUAGACGUGGCUUUUUAUAUAAGUGUUAAUAAUCACAUUCAAAUAAGAUGUGAGAUGUGGGGUAUCACACAUAAAUACUCCUAAAGAAAUAUUAUCAACAUUUUCUAUUAUUUAGAUCAUUUUGAUGAAAAUAUUUUCCAUCAUCAUUGGUGAAGUUAUUUGGGUGUUAAAAUGAUAAAUAGGAGUUGAUUACAAAAUAAUGAGGCCAUUAGGUUUUCACAUUAAAAUUAAGAAUGGAAAUGAAAAUGAGCAAAAUUAAUAAUAAUAUUUUUCAGUGCAUUUAACCACAUAUUAUAAAGAAAGUAAGUUUCAAUUUUGAAAAAAUUUCUAUCUCAUCAUUGUUUUAUCAUAACAUUAUAAAAAUAUCGAUAUUUAUCAAUUAUGUAAAACAUUCAAAACUUAUAUUUAUAAAUGUGUAUUCAUUAAAUGACGAUCUUUGAAAUAUUUUUUGUUAUAAUUAUUAGUAAGAUUUAUUCAAUUUAUAAAUAAAAAUAUUAAUUGCAUUAAAUGAUUUCAUUAAAAAGUAUGUUUUAAAAUUUUAACAGUAUUCAAUAAUUUAAAUAUUAAUAUUUUAAAUUAAUUUUUUUAAAAUUAAAUAUUUUUAUUUUUAUUUUUUUAAUAUUUUAAAUUAAAUAUGAAUAUUCUUCAAACUUAUUAUCCCAAGUUUAAUAUAAGAAAAGUUUUUUUAUUCUUUAGGAAAUGUCUUACGCCGCUGUAUGUUCAGGGACUCGAUUUCCUCUUGAUAACGCUUUUGUCAUUUGGAACAAUUAAGCCCUUUUGUACGUAUACUACUCAUUUUAUCUUCAUAGCUUGACUUUUUAUGUCACUAUAAGUCUUUUAUCUACAAGAUUCAAGACUUAUUAUGAAAUAUAAAUUUUUAAAAUUAAAAAAUUUCUACUUUUAAAAAAAAAUUAAUUAUAAUUGGUAUGGUUGGUCAUUUAAUGGCUUUCAUGUAGCGCAUUACUUAUUGGAAAUAGAAAAUAUCUUUUCAAAUGUAAAACCAUAGAAGAAAAGGAUGAACAUUUACUGAACAUCUCUUUAUUGUUUUUUAAACUGUUUCUUUUCUUGGUGAUAUGCUUUUUCUCUUUCAUUCCUGCCUUAUUUUUGCUAAAACCUUUGCUUUGCGUCAAACACCUCCUUUUAUUUACUCAUUAAGAAGGUGGAUUUGAUCAUCUUAUUUUUGCCCUUUUAAUAGUUACUUACUCACUAUUAUUGAUCAUCUUAUUUAUUGAUCCUUUAUUAUUGUCAUUUUCUGUAAUUUUCUCAUCUACUUGGUUGGUUGGUUUAAUGAUUUUCAUGGAAAAACACUUGCACUAAUUAUUUUCUCUUUGGGAUUAAAUUUUAUGAUCAAAUUAUGCCCUCAAGGGAUUCAAAAUUUAAUUACAAAAUAUAAAAAGGUUCAAGAUUCAAAUUAAUAUUUUUCUAAAUUUUUCCUCCCUCCUAAUGUAUUGAAAGAAGUACAGAUAAAAAAUGCAUCCAAAGAAAUAACUAAUUUAGAUUAUUUAAGACAAAUAUUUUAUUUGACUAAAGAAAAUAAGGCGUUAUUUUCAAAAAUUUUAUAAUAAUUGUCUCUAAAUUUUUUAUUGUCCUCUGUAAGGGCCUACAAUUAUUUGAUAGUUCUAGGGACCUAGAUUAUUCACACAAAUUAUGGAAAAAUUCUCCAUCCAUUAAAUUAAAUCUCCUGGCCAAAAACAAAACUUUAUCCUUCAAUAACCAGAAAAUCAACUUUGCACUACAAUAACCAGAAGCCUACUAACAAAAGGAACCGUUUAUCCUUCUUCGGGUAGCAAAGACAAUUGAAUACAGAAACUCCAAGGCAGGAGAGAAAAUUUUAAAUAAAUGUUGUGAUCCCUCUAUUUUGUCAUGUUACAAUCAUUUUUCCCUUGAGCACCAUCUAUUUCUCACCUUUAAAUAGUAUUAUUCUUUCAAACAAAAGAAUACCAUCAAAAACAGGAGCCACAGCCUUUUGGCCUUUAGAUAAGUUGAUGCUCCUCCCAUCUUUUUCCUUUCUUCUUGUGGUGUAUGAGGUGAUCUCUUAUCCAAAACUGAAAAAGAAACAUCAAUAAAGAUGCUGGGUAGUAAAUAGUUGAAGCAAAUAGGUGACGCUUUCUUUCCAUUCUGAUGCUGUCACAGGUCCUAAUUUGUACAUCCUUUUCUUCUGGGUGAGUUGUCGUUAGUUACAGUAACGUGUAGAAGGGUCUAGUUCAUUAAUAAAAUUGUUGAUUUUCAAAAAUAUAAAAUAAAAAUAUUUAAAGAGUAUUAUAGUUUUUUGUUUUGCUUUAAACUUUUUUAUUUUUAAUUAAUUAAAAAGAUGAAAAUUGACAGUUUCUUUAUAGCUUUUGUUAAUGCGACAAGACAUUAUAUUGAUACCUCCAAGUAUGAAUAAUUGACGUGAUCUCUCUAUUAUUGUCCUUUAUAUUUGUUAUUUCCCUUUUAUGUACAUUUAAUGGCUUUCAUCAAAAAAUAUCUCUCUAGCUACAAACUGUUUAGGACCAAAGGAUUAGAAUACCGAUAUCAACCAACCAAUUUACUAGAUAAUGGUUGCAUAUAUGGACAAAUAUAUUCAUAAAUAUCGAUAAAAAAAUGCAUAAAAAUGAUGAAAAUAUAUAGUAAAUGCUAGAAAUUUAGAAUGAAAUUCAGCAUAUAUUUAUGCAUAUUUUAGAGUUAUAAUAUAAAAAUUAUAUCAUACUAAUUAACUCUACACAUAAUAUAUUAUUAAAUAUUUAUAAGGUAAAAAAAAAGAAAAUUUCUGAAGAAUAACCCUCCUUGAUAAGAGCAUUUAAAAAAUAAUCAUUAAAAUAAAUUUAACUGUUUUUAACCAUAUUUAGCCAUGAUUUGAUAAAAAUACCCUUGAAACUAUUUCAAAUAAAUUAAACCAUUCAUCACAAUUUUUUUCCAUUUCUGCUUCCGAUUUCUCUCUCUCACCAUCAAGCUCUCUCUAAUUUUAUCGAUUUCUCUUUUCGGCAUUCAUCUACUAUACUCUUAAUUACUCUCUCUCACACUUUUAAAUUUUUCUCUCCUACGCUUUCAAGACACCAAGUGACGAUUUUAAUGUGCUUGGAGUAGGUGGCUAUUUGAAAAUUUUGAUUUUUAAAUAUUUUAGAUAAAACUAAAACAGUAAAAAUUAUCACAGAUGUUUGAAAUAGCUUUUAAAUGGAUCAAUUCGAGGACCUAGACAUGAAUAUACUUAAGAAUUUGAAAAUUAUAAACUUAGGUUUUUAAAGGAAUUUUUUUAUUUUUAGUCAAAAUAGGUGUUUUAGAUAAGAAAAUUUAUGUUUUGAUUUAUGAAAUAUGUUAGAAACACUUUAAUCGGUACCAAAUUGUUAAAAAAACAAAAAAAAAAUGAAAAGAGUUUAGAGGAUUUGAAGUUUUAGUUUGUAAGUAACAACAACAUUUUAAGCAUUACAGUAUAACAAAAUGUUUUUGAACAUAGAGUGUAAUAAUAAUAUUUUUUUAACAUGCGGUCAAACUAUAACAUUUUUUUCAACAUGGCGUGUAACAACUUUUUUUAACCAUGACAUAUAACAUGUUUUUGCAUAUGGCAUGUAUCAACAAUAAUUAUUUUUUCAACAUUGCGUGUAACAACCUUUUUUAACCAUAACCUAUAAUAUAUUUUUGUAUAUGGCGUGUAACAACCUUUUUUAACCAUGACGUGUAACAUGUUUUUGUACAUGACAUGUAACAACAAUAAUUUUUUUUUCAACAUGGCAUGUAACAACUUUUUUUAAUUAUGACGUGUAACAUAAUUUUGUACGUGGUGUGUAAUAUCAUGGGGUGCAGUUUCAUUAAUGGUGAUUUUAUCCAAUUUGGAUAAAAACAGUUAAAAUUAUAAAGAAGGUUAUUUUUGAAAAUAUUUUAUCUUUAAGGGUUAUUUUCAAAAAUACCCCCAAAAAAAUCUGUAUUAUAUUAUAAUUUAUAUCAUAAUAUAGAAAUAAAUUGAAGCUAAUUUGUGAAAUAUUGAUUUCCAAAGCCAAAUAUUAAAAGCCGAACAGAUUAAUAAUACCUAAUACCAUAUUGAAUUCUAAUUAAUGGAAAAUAUUUGGCUUCAUGUUUAUACUCCGAAACAUAAUAAUGUCUUCUUUGUAAGAUUUCAAGAUAUUGAAUCUUUAUAAACCUAUUGAAAAUAGAAAAAAAUCAACAAGCUUCAUUUAAAUUACUUUAAUGAAGUAUAAUGUAACAACUUAAGUCCAAGCAUUAGCCCAACAACUAAACCACAUAGCCCUCAAGUUGCUAGUAAUAAUGGAUUUAAAUUGUUUUAUAUGAGAUUGAACUAGUAUAGGCUUUGAUAUUAUUUGUAACAAUCCAAGUCCAAGCACUAGCCUAGUAACUUUUCAAGCCUGAAUCACAUGGUUCUUAAAAGCUCAAGUUACUAGUAGUAAUAGACUUGACUUAUUAUUAGGUCUUAACAAUCACAUUUAAAUAAGAUGUGGGAUGUGUGGUAUCACACAUAAAUACUCUUAAAGAAAAAUUAUCAUGAUUCAAAAAGCAAUUAAGGGUCUGUUUGGUAAUAAGAAAAUAACUUGUUGGGAGAAAAAUUUUUUUGUGUAAAAUAUUUUAUAGGAGAAUCUAAUAUUUCAUAUUGUUUGGAUAAGUUGUUAAAAACAUUUUCUAUUGGGUAAAAUACCUUGGCCCCCCUAAAUUUUGUUUGAAAUUAUACAGAGAUUUAUUAGUUUUCGAAAUGGACAUUCUACCCUAAGACAACAAACACCGCUAACAGAAAUAAUGAAAAGACUAAAAUAUCUUUUUUUUUUUAAAUAAAAAAAUAGGGAGCCUCGGUGCUCCCCUUGGGGAGCUUGAUUGGGGGCUCUUUAAGCACUGGUGCUCCAUUCGGGAGCCUGAUUUGGGGCUCCCCCGGUGCUCCCCAAUGGGGAGCUAUUUUUUUUUAUUAAUAAAAAAUAAUAAAAUUAUAUAAUUGUAAUUAUAAGAAUUAAUCAAGUGUAAAAUUAUCUUUCUACCCUUCCUACGUUAGCAUGUUGACGAAAAUACUAACUGUUAGACCUACGUGUUUAGCAAAAAAUAUUUUUUUGAGACAGAGUGUCUAUUUUGAAAACUAAUGGACCUUUAUGUAAUUUCGAUCAAAACUUAGGGGGGUUAGGGUAUUUUAUUCUUUUUCUAUUAUUUGGAUCACCUUGAUGAAAAUAUUUUCCACCAUCAUUGGUGGAGUUAUUUGGGUGUUAAAAUGAUAAAUAGGAGUUGAUUACAAAACAAUAAGGCCAUUAGGUUUUCACAGUAAAAUUAAGAAUGGAAAUGAAAAUGGAAAAAAUUAAUAAUGAUAUUUUCCAAUGCAUUUAACCACAUAUUAUAAUAAAGGUAAGCUUCAAUUUUCAAAAAAACUUCUAUCUCAUCAUUUUUUUACCAUAACAUUAUAAAAAUAUCAAUAUUUAUCAAUUAUAUAAAACAUCCAAAACCUUUAUUUAUAAAUGUGUAUUAAUUAAAUGACGAUUUUUGAAAUAUAUUUUGUUAUAAUUAUUAGUAAGACUUAUUCAAUUUAUAAAUAAAAAUAUUAAUUGUUUUGAAUGAUUUCAUUAAAAAAAAUAUUUUUUAAAUUUGAAUUGUAUUGAAUAAUUUAAAUUUUAAUAUUUUAAAAUAAAAUUUUUAAUUAAAUAUUGAUUUUUUUAUUUUUUUAAUAUUUUAAAUUAAAUAUUAAUAUUCAUUAAAUUUGUGUGCUAAGUUUAGUAUAAAAGCAGUUUUUUUGUUCUCCGGGAAAUGUCUUAUGCCUCUGUUUGUUUAAGGGCUCGAUUUCCCCUUGAUAACGCUUUAUCAUUUGGAGUAGUUAAGCCCUUUUGUAAGUGUACUACUCCUUUUAUCUUCAUAGCUUAACUUCUUAUGUCACUAAAAGUUUUUUGUUUACAAGAUUCAAGACUUAUUACGACAUGCAAGCUUUCAGAAUUAAAAAAAAUUUCUAAUUUCAAAAUAAAAAUUAAUUAUAAUUGGUAUGAUUGGUCAAUUAAUGGCUUUCAUGUAGCGCAUUACUUAUUGGAAAUAGAAAAUAUCUUUCCAAAUGUAAAACCAUAGAAGAAAAAGAUGAACAUUUAUAAAACAUCUCUUUAUUGUUUUUUAAACUCUUUCUUUUCUUGGUGGUAUGCUUUUUCUCUGUCAUUCCUGCCUUAUAUUUGCUUAACCCUUUGCUUUGCUUCAAACACCUCCUUUUAUUUACUCAUUAAGAAGGUGGAUUUGAUCAUCUUAUUUUUGCCCUUUUAAUAGUUACUUACUCACUAUUGAUGUGAUGAAAAGACGAGAAAAAAUGACAGUUUCUUCACAGCUUUUGUUAAAAAGACAUAAUGCGUUCAUACUUAAAUAAACUAAUUACACCUUUAUUAUUGUCGCUUUCUGUAAUUUUCUCUUCUACUUGGUUGGUUGGUUUAAUGGAUUUCAUGUAAAAAUACUUGCACUAUUUAUUUUAUUUUUGGGAUUAAAUUUUAUGAUCAAAUUAUGCCCCAAGGGACUCAAAAUUAAAUGACAAAAUUAUUUGAUAGUUCUAUGGACAUAGUACCUAGAUUUUUCAGACAAAUUAAGGCAGAAUUCCCCAGCCCUUAAAUUAAAUCUCCCGGCCAAAAACAAAAUAAAACUCUACAAAAUCCAUGUUUGAGAAUCGUCAUAGCUCCUCCUUCCUAUGUUGCGUGGACUAUCUCUUGAUCAUAGUUUGCUUAUCCAUGUUUGAGAAUGGCUAAGGAUGUUAGUACUAAUUGGUAAGAGACAAAUACAAGUUUUUAGCUCUCAGCUUCACACAAAUGCCAUGGGUGGAGUGUAACUGUAUCAAAUCAAAAGAGUUAAUUUUGACAUACAAAAUAAUUCAGUGCCAAUUUUACAUGUAAAGUAUGUAGAUGUAUACUCAAUUGCAAAAACCAAGAGCCAUAGAAGAAAAUGAUGCACAUAUAUACCAAGAAAAUCCGAAGUUUCAGGAGCCAAGGCUAAGCUUCUAUAUAUUUUGAUAAAAGAAAACUCAAGUAGAAAUCAAGUUUGCAUUAAAAUGAUCAGAAGCCCACUAGCAGAGGGAAUUAAGAAACAACAGAUAAUUCUUCUUUUGGCAGCAAAAACACUUAAUACAGACACUUCAUAAAGGUGGGAGCAGCUUUUUGCUUUGUUCCUUUGGUCUAUGAGCUGAUAGUCUUGAUUAUCUCUAAUCCAAAAUUGACAAAGAAUUAAAUCCAACGCGGUUUGAGGUGGUGGGUAGUAAAUGGGUGCAGCUUUCUUUCUAUUCUGACGCUGUCGCUGGUCCUUUCUACAUCCUUUUCUUCUCAUGUAUAAGGGUCCAGUUCAUUAAUAAAAUUUGUUGAUCACAAACCAAUAACACACUUGAAUACAGAAACUCCAAGGCAGGAUAGAAAUUUUCGAAUAAUUGAUGCUGAUCUUUCUAUUUUUGUUCUUUAUAUUUUGGACCAUUACUUUUCAACCUACUUGAUUGGCUGUUUAAAUGGCUUUCAUGAAAAACUAUCUUUACACCAUAAAAAUAGAAAUAAAUUGAACAAAUUUGUAAUAUAUUAAUUUUCAAUGACACCAAAUAUUAAAAACUUUGAACCGAUUAAUAAUACCAAGUACCCAUAUUGAAUUCUAACAAUUGAAAAAUUAGUUUCAUGUUUAUGCUCUAAACAUAAUAGUAUCUUCUCCAUAAGAUUUUAAGAUAUUAAACGUUUAUAGACCAAUUGAAAAUAGAAAAAAGAUCAAGCAACUUCCUUUGAUUUAUCUUAAUAAAGCAUAAAUUUCUCCUAAAAAAAAUUUACUCUGAUUCAAAAAGCAAUUAAGUUUACACCUUUAACUAUUUUUUUCUUGUGCUCUUACAAAAUUUGUGAAGAAAACUAAUUUGUCAUUAUCAAAAUUGUUAGAUUCUUCACGGCUUUUACUAAUGUGACAUGACAUCAUUGAUGCAAUUUUAAAUUAUUAAUUCUUCUAAUUUUAUUACUAUUUCAAUUAUUUUUCAGCAUUUAUUUCUUACCAACUUACUUGGUUGGCAGGUUUACCUGGAAAAAGCACAUGACUCUUAAGAGUAAAACUACUAUUAUUACAAACACUUCCUUUUUUUCAUGGAAAAACACUCGCACUAUUUAUUUUGUUUUUGGAAUUAAAUUCUGUUAUCAAAUAUUUAUGCCCCCAAGGGAUUCAAAAUUUAAGGACAAAAUAUGAAAAGGUUCAAGAUUCAAUCUAAAUUUUUUUCCUCCCUUGAAUUAUCCUAUUGUAUUGAAAGAAGUACAAAAUCCAUGAUUGAGAAUACCAUAAAAAUUGGGGCCACGGCCGACCUUUCGGCCUUUAGAUAGUUGAUGCUCCUCCCAUCUUUUUCCCCUGCUCUUGUGGUCUAUGAGGUGAUCCCUUAUCCAAAACUGACUAAGAAACAUCAAUUAAGCUGGUGGGUAGAAAAUAGGUGUAGCUUUCUUUCCAUGCUGACGCUGUCGCAGGUCCUCAUUUGUAUAUCCUUUUCUUCUGAGUGCUCAUUAGUCACAGCAUCGUGUAGAAGGAUCCAGUUCAUUAAUAAAAUUGUUGAUUUUCAAAAAUAUAAAAGCAAAAAAAUUUAAAGAGUAUCAUAGCUUUUUAUUUUGCUUCAAACUUUUUUUUAAUUUUUUUUAUUAAUUAAGAAGAUUAAGAUUGACAGUUUUUUUGAAGUUUUUGUUAAUGCGACAUGACAUUGUAUUGACACCUACAAAUAUGAAUAAUUGACGUGAUCUCUCUAUUAUUGUCCUUUAUAUUCGUUAUUUCCCUUUUAUGUCCAUUUAAUAGCUUUCAUGGAAAAAUAUCUCUCUAGCUACAAACUGGAUAGAACCAAAGGAUUAGAAUACCGAUAUCAACCAACCAGUUUACUGGAUAAUAGAUGCAUAUAUGGACAAAUAUAAAUAUAUUCAUAAAUAUCGAUAAAAAAUAGGUAAAAAUGAUGAAAUAUAUAGUAAAUGUUAGAAAUUUAGAAUGAAAUUUGGCAUAUGUUUAUACAUAUUUUAGAGUCAUAAUAUAAAAAUAAUAUCAUACUAAUUAACUCUACACAUCGUAUAUUAUUAAAUAUUUAUAGGGUCAAAAAAUAAAUAAUCUAUAUUAUGUUGAAAUGUAUAUCAUAAAUAUUGAAAUAAAUUGAAACAAAUUUGUGAAGAAUUGAUUUCAAAACCCAAAUAUUAAAAGCCCAAUCAAUUAAUAAUACUUAAUGUAUUGAAAGAAUUACAAAAUCCCUGAUUGAGAAUCGCCAUAGAUCCUCCUUCCUAAGUUGCAUGGAAUAUCUCUUGAUCAUAGUUUGCUUAUCCAUGUUUGAGCAUGGCUAAGGAUGUUAGUAGUAAUCGUUUAAGCCAAAGAAAUAGUGAAUCAAAGGAAAGAGCCUAACUUCCCCUGCCUCGCUUUAAAGGAAAGAGCCUAACUUCCCCUGCCCCGCUUUAAAGGAAAGAGCCUAACUUCCCCUGCCCCGCUUUUGUAGGAUCAGGGGAUGAACAUAGAUAUUUGACAAGCUUCAAUCAGUUGAAGCUAGAUUCCAAAUUCCAUAGUCUCUGCAACAUACAAAUAGUUAGUGAAAGUUCAGAUUUUUGCACUUGACAUGAUUCGGUAUGGUUUAAAAGAUUGUAUUGAUGGGUCUGCUUCAUUAGUUUUUCCCACGGUUUGUAACACAAAAGAAAAGGUAUAGCAACGCCGCUUCAUCUAUCAAGAAUAUAUUUAUAUAAAAUUAUAAAUAACAUCUCAUUAAAUUAAUUAUAAGAUCGUCACAGCAAAAUCAAGCAUGGAAAACCAUGAGAAAUUUGUUUCAUCUCUGAAUCAGACAUGCAAGUAAACAUAACUAUGGUUGUGUGAUUGUUCUGGGGAUUGGUUGGUGUUUCGGUCACUGGCUUCUUCUUGGGUUGGUUGUGUGAUUGUGUGAUGUUUUCAUCUGCUUUGGUUAGGAAGAUUAUUUUCCCAGGAAGAGUUCCGACGUCUCUAAGUGGUUCAGGUUUUGAAUGAUAGGCUUGUGCUCGUUGUUUGAUGCUAGAGUUCAAUGGCGAGCUUUUUCCUUAUAUAUUGUUUUAUGCCAACUGGUUGCUUUUGUGUUCAGUGGCAAGUUGUGUAUAUCCUUUUGAUCUUUCCCAUGCCAGUUUUUUUUAUGCCAACCAUUAUUAGGUUUUUUUUUUAUUUGGGGAUGAGCUGAUUUGAAGCUUGCUUUUUGAGUAAAGAAUCAUACAUCAAUUAUUGAGUUAAAUAUGUGAGAAUCAUUAUUAAUUAAUUUAUUUUGAAAGAUAAUUAAUUAGUUUUACAUAUAAUUUUUAUGAAUAUAUACCGGAUUUGGUGCUUCUCAGUCAGAUCCUCAUGAUCGAAUCUGGCACUCCAUGGUCAUAUUUGAUCACGGGAAAUGCCGAUUUGGCACAUCCUGGUGGUUAGAUGGUGUGCUAGAUCGGCAUUUCAUUACACUAGCCACAUUUUCGGUGAUUGGCCAACGGACAAAAAGAAAGGAGAAAGAGAACAAGAGAAAAAAAAUUAAAAUAAAAAAGUUGAAAAAUUAUUUAUAAAUUAUAAACAAUUAAUAUUUUAAUAUUUUAAUCAUAACAAUGUUUAAAUAUAAAUAAAAUAUGAAAAUUUUAAAAUAUAAAUGUUUACCUUAUUAAAUUAUUAAUAUAUUAAAUUUGUAAGGAAAGAAUAAAUAAAAAAUUAAAAAAAUGCAAAUAAAGAAAAAUAAAAAUUAUACUAAUAUUUUAAUAAUAAAUUAUUAAAAUUUUAAAUUUUUAAUGAAAAUAAAAAUAAAAUGAUUAAAAAGAAAAAUUUUACUUAUUUUUGUCUUUUGGUAUAAAUUUUACUAAAUUAUGUAAAGGGUAAUUUUGUUGUUUUAUAAAAUAAAUCUUAUUAUAAUAAAAAAUUUAAAUUUUUUAAUUAUAUAUUAUAAAAUUAAUAUUUUAAAUUUGCUAGCGGUAUGGGCAAAUCCUCCUUUUAUUAUUUAAAAUUUUUUUAUAUUAUAUAAAAAUUUACUAUAUUUUUUAUAUUUUUAAUAACUCUUUAAAAAUAUUUUUAUUUAAUAAUUAAUAUAAAUAAAAAAAUAAAAUUAUCUAUAUACCUUACUUAAUUUUAAAGUUUUUUUCUUUUAAUUUAUAUUAUUAUUUAUAUUUAUAUUUUUUAUCUUUUUUAUUUCUAUUGUAUUUGCUUAUAUAUUUUAAGUUUAUAUAAAUUUUCUUUUUCAAAUUUCGAUUAACCAUCAACCAUAUUCUAUUUUUUUCUUUUUUAUUAUGUUAUAUGUGGAUUUUAUCUUCUACUUAUCAUAUUCUUCUUUUCACUGUUAUGUGAAUUUUAUUUUUUAUAAUUUUAAUUUUUAAAAUUUAAUAAAUUAUUAUGUAAUUUUAAAAUAUAAGUUGUAGUAUUGCACUGUUGGUUAAAAUUUAAUCCAUGUAUCAUUUUUUUUAUUAAACCUGAUUAUGCAAGAGAAAAUUUUCUUGAGUAUAUCUUUUUUAUGUGAUUUACGUUUUAUAUUUAGUUGAAAGCAAAUUAUCUUGAAUAUAUAGUUUUUAAACAAUAUUGAUUAUAUAAUAAGAAAUUAUUAAUUUUGUAUAUCGUAUUUAACCAUUUAUAUUUUAUACAUUAUAGUUUUAUAUUUAGUAUUAUAAAUUUAAAUAGAAAGAAAAUAAGAAUAUUAGAUAUUAACUAGAUUAAUUUUUUUUUCAAAGUUUGAUUAAAGUAUAAGUCACUACAACAUUUUUAUUCUUUUAUUGCAAAAUUUUAGAUGCAUUUUUUCUUAUGUAACUAAAUUCAUCAUAUUACUCUUGAUACAUUUUAUUUAAUUACACUAUCUAAAGUGUAAUCCCAUAAAAAAAUUAAGAAGAGAAAAGCUCACAAAAUAAAAGCAGCCAACAGCCUAACAAAAAACAAACAAAAGCCCCUUGCCCUUUACGUGGUCAAAUAGACUAUAUUUUUCACCUAUGACUGCAAUAUUUUUUGUAGCCAAAGGUCAACAAUGUUGUAGUGAGUAAGGUGAAAAUAAUUGACAAAUUCUUUAAAAGAAAAGAUUAAGUCAUCCAAAUGAUUCUCAUACACUUAAGCACUGUAUCAAAUAAAUAAAAAUCAGUAAUAGUGCAGAGAAGUAGUAUAGCAUAUAUCAAAUAAACAACAAUCAGUAAUAGUGCAGAGCACUAUUAUUUCUCCUCAUCCCCUAAUUGUUGCUCUAGUUCUGAAGGACCUUCUACUGUGAUUAUUUCUAGUUUUGGCAGAGCAACACUAACUGGAAAUAGACAUUUCAGUUUAUUGCAGCCUGCAAUUUUGGUUUUAUUCAGUGCAAAUAAACAUAUAGGUUGGAAAUGAAUCCUUUGAUUAUGAUGAUCCAACUCUAGGUGCAUGUAGAAAUGAGCCAAUCCCAUUUUAUAGUUCUUUGUACUAGUAUUUUCUUUUAGUAAUGAGUAAUUACUUCAUUUUAAUUGCUCUAUGUGAGCUUGCCGCUGGGCUAUGCUAUCAUGGCCAGAUCAUAUAAAUUGGAGUAGCAAUCAAACUCUCAAUAUUUCAAUAAAUCACUCACAACCUUCACUUAAUAAAAUAUGCCUGGUUUUAAUUUUCCAUGUCUUGGUUUCCUACAUAGCAGACUUGCACAACUUAUUCACUAAAAAUUUAAAAUACAAAAAUAAAGAUAAGAAAGAGAGGAAUUUCACUUUUAUUCUUCCACUUAUUGUACAUAUAGGAUACAAUAACAGCUGCAAGAGAGAGCAACAAUACACUAAUUGACUAAAUUACUGAAAGCAUGCGAUCCGUUCCCUUGACAACUCCAUUAAGCAAAUACCUUUGGGUUACAUUUUGUUUAAGGAAACAACGAAUAAUAGAAAUGAAGAAAAUCAGCACUACGAGGAAGAAAGCAUGUAAGCACUAAGCAACUAGCUGGACAUUCCUUACCUAAAAAAAUGAUUUGUUCAUAUAAUAUUUUGAAUAAUUUGUAAUAUUUAAGAGUCUUAUAUUGAAAGAUAAUUAUUCAAAUGUGAUCGUUCAAAUUAAAAUAUAAUACUUUGAAUAAUGCACAGGUGUUUUCAACAAAAACAAUUAUUGAAAAUUGAUCAGUGAAAUACGUUUGUUGAAACACAAUAAACACAUUUAUAAAAACACAAUAGCCAUAUUUGUUAAAACACAACAGGCACAACUUUUCAGUGUCUAUAAAAAAAAGUACUUCCAAAAUAAACUUCAUCUUCAAAAAAAUAUUCUACGUAGGCUUAUUGUAUCUUGGAAAGUUUUUGUAUACAAAUCCCCAUAAUAACUAACAACUUUUUAAAGAAAAUGUGUUACAAUACACCUCAAGCUUUCGUAAUAUCCCUUUCUUAUACUACUUAUCCUAACAUAAUAAAUAAACUAAUUAAUAAAACCAAUUGACUGCUUGAUUCAAAGUUUUAAACUAGAGAAAGUUUGACAUGUAUACACUUCACUUGCGUCAUCAUCAAUUAAUUUCACACUUUGUUUAAGAAAUACUAGCCUAAUCUCACCCCAUAUACAUAAAUGAAAUAAAACAAGGACAAAUAUUGUGAGAUUUGAACUUUUGUAUUUAACAGAUAAUUAAUAUCUCAAACUCGAAAAUCUGAAGCUCUUAAAGCACAUUGACAAAAGCUAAGCUAAAAAGAAUUUCUGAAAACAUCCAGAGAUAACACACUUAUUACGCAUUGAAGAUAAAGUUUUGUCAAUUGUGUUUUUCCUUGAGAAAGUUUUAAGGAAAAUGAUCCUAAUAAAAAAUAAUAUAAGAAAUAGUUUUGGUCAGGUCAUUUCCACUGAAUUGAUUAUAUCUGCUGCAAAGAUUGAUCAAGAAAUUUAUCAUUUGCACUAACCAAAUAUUCUGUAAACUAUUUCAAUCCUAUUACGUUUUCUCCAAAUAUCAACGAAAUUAAAAAUAUAGAGACAAAAUUCAUCAUUUGCAUUAACAAAAUAUUCCAUAAAAUAUUCUAAGUCUGUUGCCUGCUGUCUAAAAAUCUACUAAAUUAAAAAUACAGUGACAAAACACAAUAAAAUUAAAGCUAAAUAUAACAAUAAAAUUCAAUAUUAAAUUAUAAUAUACUGACAAACUUUACAUUAAUUCCGUCCUUUUUUCUUUCUUUUCCAUGGAUCACUGUGACGGCGUUGGCACAUGAGAGAUUAAGAUAGAGUGAGAAAUCUUGUGAUGCAUUUGUAGAAUAUUUUGGCUGUGCCAUAUAUCCUGCAUUUCGUCUUUCCUCAGUUCACAAGGAUCCAGGGAUAAGUCACUUGGAUCUUUCAUAAAAUAAAAAUCUACUUAACUUAUAUAGGGAAAUUAAAAUUUAUUUUCGCAUGUCUUGAAUAAGAAAUAGAAGAAUUUAACCCUUGUUCUUCUACUUGUUGUACAUACAGAAAGCAACAUAACAUUGAUUGGCUGAGGAAAAAAAACAUAACAUUGAUUGGAUAAAUUGUUGAAAGCAAGUGAUCCCGUCACUUGACAACUCCAUGAAACCAACAUCUGGACCAAUAAAAAGCACAAUAAUUUCAACUAUCUGUUUUUCUUUUUUUAUAUAUAUAUAAAUAAUAAAGGUUAGCACAAGUUAACCACCAAAACUUGAUUAGAAAUGAAAAUGGAAAGUAGCCUUUGUUUUACCUGUGUUUAGUUGAUGGCCCCAAUGUACUCAUUGAUGUUUAAAAAUGCCUUUGCAACUUCCCCUGCAACCAUCUCAUAAUUCUUCCUUGCAAGGUGGUAGCUCAGUAAGCCGAUACUGUGGGUCCUUCCGGUGCCAAUAUAUGUUCCGAUACGGUUUAAAAAUUUUGCAACCCUUGUGAUCAUCACCAAAUGGAAUUCCUAUAACCUUUAAGUCAAGUUCUUCCCAAACAUCAUCAAGAAUUAUAAGGAUGCUCUUCUCGUCAUUGAUUCUCAACUACAAUUGUUCUGCUCUUCCUUCUGGUGUCUUCUUUUGAAAAUCUAAAUCUAGGAAGUCUGCAAUUUUAUCUUGAAUAUUGUUGAUGUUUGGCUUUUGGGACAGAGUUACAGGCACAACUUUAUCGAAGAGUUGUUUGGCUUGGUUUCCCACUUCUUUUGCCAAAGUGGUUUUACCCACUCCUCCCAUCCCAUGUAGUCCAAUCAUGUUCACAUCACCAUUAUUCAGAGCCUCCAUGAUCUCUUUGAAAGCAGAAUUCGAAGAUUCAGAAGACAUGAAAUCCUUAGAUGGAAUGAACUCUAAUCCUGGGAGAGUAGCUCGGUAACCUACUCGUUCAAAAUUAGAAUUCUCUAAAAGUUGAGAGAUACGAAGUGUCUUCUUAGCUACUUUGAUACUUAAGCAGUAUCGCCAGCCCCAACUAGGACGCCAAUUGAAACACUUGUUACGUUCAAUUUCAUCUUCCAAACUCUGAGCUUCUCCCAAUUCUUUGUCUGCCCUUGUUAGCCACUCCUCAACGGCCUUCUCAAUUACCAGAGUUUGCUUUUUUGCCUCAGCGACAUCAUUUUUCACUCGAACUUUUCUCAAUUCAAGUUGAUUUCGUCGAUUCUUGAAAUCUUCAACAAUUUUGCCGAAAUGGAAAAAAUAACUGAGAUAAGGUGAUGCGUAUUCUGUUGCCAGGUUCCCCAGGGUAUUGGUUGCAACAGCGGUAACAGGUUCAGCCAUUCUUUGAUGAUCUGAUACUGAAGAGCAAUUUCUAUAAGUAAAAAGUUUUACAUAGAGACAAAAGCAAUUAGGAAAUGUUUGGAAAGUAUCUUACCUUGGCAACAAUACUUUUAUGAGAUUUGUGAAUCACAAGAGAACAAUUGUCGAUCAACCAACUUGAAAAUUGAAAAUGCUGCACAAGUAGAAAUUAUUCACUGGUCACCAACUUCAGAGAUCGGAAAAGAAAAAUUCAGGACCAGACGAAAGCAAAGAAAUAGAGUAAGGGUAAUUAAAGAAAUAGAGCAAAGAAAUAGUCUAGAGUUGCAUGGAUUUCUUCUUUUAAGAUAGGAAGCAGAGAAAUCAAAAUACUAAAGCUUGCAGCUAUGGGCUUUUUUUUUUUUUUGACCUUUGUGGAGUUAAGGAAAGGAAAAGUAGGAAUCAGAGAACAGAUUUAAUCAAAAUACCGAGGAAAUAUAUGAGAACUUCCAGGAGCCAAGAUGGAGCUUCUAUUCAGAUCAAGGGCUGACAAAGUCGGUGAAGGUUCUUUAAGUUCAAAAAUAACUGGAGGCCAAGGAAUUAAUUAAGAACCAAAAAACUUUCACUUAUCUUUAUUUUAAUGCAUACAAAUAAUUCUGCUUCUAUUCUGCUUUUUAUAGAAAGUAGGAACUCUAAGGCAAGAGGAUUUUUUUUUUUACAUGUUAGAGUAAAAGCAGAAUAUUAUCAUUCUAUAAAAUAAUCUCUUAAAAUUCAAAAUAUCUAUUUAUUUCAGUUUUUUCUCAAUAACUACAGCUUUUAUUUGACCAUGUUGUCGUCUAGGGCUGGGAAAGAAAUAAAGUGUAAAUUGAUUAAUUUUAUUUGCCAAACGAAGAACUGGAGAAGUCAAUUGCAUUAGUAAUUACAGAAAUUGAGCAUAGCAAAAGCUUUAUAUGGAGAAUAUAAUAUGUAUUCUUGAAGCUUAUCUCACUUCGAAUGGAUCUUCUAAAGCUGCAUGGAUUUCUACUUCACCAACUCCGGAGAUCGGGAAAGAACAAUUAAGGACCAACCCAAAGCAAAGAAAUAGAAUAAGGGUAAUUACUUCACCAACUCCGACUUCUUUUUGUAGAUAGAAAGCAGAGAAACCAAAAUACUAGAGAUAGCAGCUUUGGUUUUUUUUUUUUUUGGCUAUGUGGAGCUAAGGAAUGGAAAAGUAGUAGGGAUCAAAGAACAGUUUUUUGUUUUUCUUUUUUUUUUUUGUUUGUGAGUUAAAAGAAAAUGAGGAAAGUAGAAACCGAUGAAGAUAAACAAACAGAGAUGCCUUCUUUUUUUGAGGUGAAAGAAAAGUGGAAAUAUCAAAGAACAUGAAAUGGAAGAGUAAGGUAGAAAUCAAGCUAACUCUUUGGGAUAGUUUAGCUCGCAGAUGUGGAGAUGAUACAAGAAGAUGCUUGAAUGAAAACUCUAUGACGACAAAGUAGUAAGAGUAGGUACAGGCAAUUUGGAACUACUACGAUGCAAUGGAAAAAUAUUAGCAACUUGGCUUACACUCCCCAUGUACGAUUCUCUUUUCUUUGAUAUGCGAAAGCUAAUGCUAUUCAUUGAGAAAGUUUGUUUUAUUUAUUGUUUUUCGGUUGGCUUUUCUAUAGUUUGUUCCCCCUUUUUUGUUUUCUCUUGGUUAUGGGUGGUGCUCGAGACUCCAAUGUUUAUUUCUGCCUCUCGCUAAAAGCUCUUUGGCCAGCAUGAGCUAUCGACAUUAUUAUAUAAUGUUUAUUGAUUUGAGGAUUUUUGUUUACUACUAGGGACAAUUGCAAGUGAAUGUGUUAGAUAUUUUAUUCAAAUUUUAAUCGGAAAUCGGUAAAAUUUCAUUAGUUGAAAAUUAUUUGGUGAUUAAAUUUGAUUAAAGGGUACAUAAACUUAAUGGUUAAGAGUUUUUGAUGGGUAGAAAUUCAUGGUGACAAAGUAAUAUGGACCUAUAAAUAUGUAGUGGGUCUUAACCUUUAAAAUUAAGACAGAAAUGCAAUCUAUUUUUCAAAUUGAGUUUUUUGUCAGAGUUUCACAAAAUUGUAGAGAUGUGAGAAAUAGUAUGGUAAACACUGGUUGCAUGAGAUCCAAGGUAUUGUAAACCUUGAACUAGUGGGAGUAGUUUUUUAUAUACCUUUCUCUCUUCCUAAACAUUGGGAUGAUUAGAAAUUUAGAAGUAGAGUUAUAAGUUGAUCAAAUUCAUUUGGUUUCAAAUUUCUUUUCCUUUUUUAAGUUAAUUUCCUUUUAAAAAAAUUAUAUUAUGUGGCCAAAGGAUAUGAGCUCUUAGUGAAAAUGUAUUUAUAUUGUUGAAAUCAAAUAAAAACUAAAAGAAAUACCAACAAAAUAUUGAUGCUCCUUCCAACUUUAAUCUCUUAGUUUUUUCCUUUAUACUUGGUCUUUGAGGGGAUAGCUUUUGAGUAGAAAUGCCUACUUCCAACAAUUACUAGUCAAUUUACAAUAAUUGGAAAAUUUUCAUUAAAAUAUUUAUAUAAUAUAUUGCCCUUGUUUAAAUUACGUAGACCUCAAUAAGUUAAAUUUUGAGUUAAUUAAAUGAUAGAAAAUUAUCCAAUAAACUAUUGAUGGAAUUUAAAAAUUUUAUUAAUGGAAUUAGAAAGUUGUCACGUAUCCAUUAGGAUAUAUUUUAAAAAAAUUAAUCUGAUAACUAAAAGGACAUUUGACAAUAUUUUAACUUUACUAACGGAGUUAAAAACCCACCGAUUAUUUUACAAAUGAUAAUAAUCCCAACACUAAAUCGCUUCUAUCUAUAAUCCCAAUCACCCACUGCUUUUGCUAGUGGAACAUGGAAUUAUUGAUUCACUUUUGAACUAUUUUUAUUUUAUUAUUCAAGACAAGUCGCAGCAAAGACUUGGUAUUCUUCCAAGUCUUUUUUUAUUGUCAUUUUCUUUUAUUCAAAUAACAAUCAACCCAAACAUGGUUUGCUUUAUGGAAUUAUUAGCCUCACUUUUUUUUUCUUUUUUAUUGUUAUAUGUGUUGAUCAUUAGAUUAUUAAAGGGAGAUAGAUAAUGACAUCAAUCAUCUUUAGGAGAAAAUUCCAAUUAAAAAAAAGACCAGCAUUGAGAAAAAAUAAGCUAAAAUUGUCCAAGAAAGUUUUGUCAAUUGUUUUUCUCCUUGUGAUAGGGAAUAUUUUGGUCACUGGUCGCCUAGUUGAUUAUCUCUGCCUCAAAAUUAAUAAAGAAUACUGGCAACUUGGUUAUGAAUAAUGAAUUGAUUAUUGAGAAGAGUUGGUGUAGGAGUAGGACAUUUGGAUAAAUUAUGGGCAACUUGGCUCAACGUGGUCCCAUUGAGAAAGCUGCAAUGACAAAGCCACUUCUAUACAUUGAGAAAGUUUAUUUUAUUUAUUGUUUUCCAGCUACAAUCCAAAACAUUGUUAGAAAUCCUUUCAUUUCACAAUUCCCAUACAAAACAAAAGCUUGGCAGAUGAACAACAUCAUUAUUUCUUCAGGUUUGUUUUAUUAAUAAUCAAAUUGAUUUCAUUUCACACUUUGUUUUAUCAACAAGGGCAUUUAUAUUACUUGGCCAAUUGAUUGUUAGCCAACUUGAUGGAGACUUGUGCAUUUACCUCCAUAUAUCAUCAACUCCUCCUAUGUUUGAUCUCUUCUUGAUAAAUAGGUUGCUCAUCAAAAUUUUCUAAUGGCAAACCAAUGUCAGGAUAUAUAGUUAAUUAUUUAAGAGAAAGUGAAAUGCAAAUUUUAACUAAUCAAAAUAGCUUUCCUUUGUUGUUUAAAGAGUGAUUUUCUUUGUAGUUGAUUUCUUAGUUUAAUUAGUCUUUAUUAAUAUAAUAUAUUUAUUUAAAUAUAUAAUAUAUUUCUUAGUUUAGUGAUUUUCUUUUUAUUAAAACAUUUAUUAAAAUAUAUUGCCCUGUUUAAAUUACCUAGACCUCAAUAAGUUAAAUUUUGAGCUAAUUAAAUUAUAGAAAAUUAUCCAAUAAACUGUCAUGGAAUUUAAAAACUUUAUCAAUGGAAUUAGAAAGUUGUCGCAUAUUCUUUAGGAUAUAUUUAGAAAAAUUAAUAAAUUAAUCUGAUAAAUAAAAGGACAUUUGCAGUUUCUGUAUAAAUGGCUUGGAGCAUUUGCUACAACUUGAAAAAGGAAGCAUGACAAGAUUGUAUCCAAAUUUGCCUAUAACUUCAAAUUCAGUUCAGCUUCAUCAUCAAGAAAAGAAAAUCUCAGUUCAGAUUGUAGUGUUUCAAAUGCAUGCAUGCUUGCGAAGUUCGUUUGGUAAUAUAUAGCACCAAAAGUAUUUUGAAACCAAAUAUGAAACACAUGGAUCCCAUCUCUUUUUCUAACAACAGGCGUGGCAAGCGUGGGCGUACCAAUUCUAACAUUGGUUUUAGAUUAUGCUUGUUUCAAAGCCAUUUUUUAGUGCUUGUUUCCCCUGGCUUUCUUGGGAGAAUAUCAAGAUUAAGUGGUGCUGUAAAUCAGGGCCAUGUUAGGGAUGGCAGGGGACGGAUUUCAAUAGGGUAUUCGAUGUGAUCAUACUCGAUUAAUGUAAUUUUUUAUAAUUAUAAUUGAAACAGAUUGGAGGAAUGCAGUUAAUUGGAUAUUGAACCUCGACAGUAGAUUAUGGAAAUGGUGGAAGACAUUUCAGCAGGUGGAUUCUUUAAAGGAGGUGAUAGGCAGUGUAUUAUUCUGUGAGUGCUGAUUUUUUGGCAAAGGAAGGUGCAAGGAAAGAGAGUUUUUAUUGGGUAGGAAUUCAUGGUGACAAAGUAAUAUGACUUUAUAGAUAUGGAGUGGGACUUAGUCUUUAGAAUUAAGAUAGAGAUGUAAUAAUCUCUAUAUGAUUUUAUGGCAUCCGUACUUGACCUUUAAGCACAUGUGCCUAAAAUUCCACGGAAUAAUAAGAUAUUGUCAUUGCCUUGAGAUUCACCUUUAGAAUUCUGAUUCUUCUGAUGCAGCUUUGUUUAUCCUGCAGGGAGCCUUCAAAACCAAACAAAGUGAGACAUAAAGAACAAGAAUUAAUUAAUACUAAUUUUUGUUAACAAGUUGUAUAGCACAUAACAAAAAAUAAACAAAAAUCAGUAACAGAGCAAAUUGCAGAUUGUUAAAGACAUGAUAUAUGACUAUGUAACACAAGUCAGACAGAAAAGAGCUAAUGGGUAUUCAUUCAUUAUAUAUGAACUUUCAGGAGCAAGACAGAGCUUCUAUUUUGAUCCAGCCAAAAUACAGACACUAACAAAGUCGGUGAAGUUUUUUUUUUUUUUUUUGAGUUCAAAGAAAAUUGAAGUAGAAAUCAACUAUAAUUAAAAGGACGGCAAAUUAGAAAACAACAGACUUACACUUAUCUUGUUUUGAAUGCACGCAGAUAAUUCUGCUUCUGAUAACAAAAACAGUAGUCAAACAUAGAAAGUAGAAACUCUCAAGGCAAAGACUUGUUUUCUUUGGAAUCCCUUUUUCAUUUUAUUGUUAUUAUUUUUCUUAUUCAUAUCCUUAGUGAAAGACAAGGGCCCCGACAUCUUUUGCCUUAUCAUUGACUAGUUCUCUCUCAGAGAAGAAAAAAAAAAAGAAAAGGAUGGAGUCAUGGAGAUGCUCUGCUACGGGCCCUGCUGUUUGGCAUUCCAGGAAGUGUUCUGGAAAGAGGAUGGGAAUCUAUAUUCUUGGUUUAGUUUAUUGUAUGCUUAGCUUUCAUGAUCUCAUCUUUUACUAUUUUAUAAGCUUUUUGAAUAUUCAAAGUUAUGAAGGAAUAAUUUUUACAAAUAAUUCUAAAUUUAUUAGAAGUAAAAAGUCAAGUAUGGUCCAACCAAGUAAUUACUUGAGCUAUAUGUAAACCUUUAUCAUGAGCAAGAAUAAUUUUAUACAGGUAAUUAUGUCAUGUCAAGUCAAGGUUCCAAUGCAGUAAACAGUAACUUGAUUAUCCAGCUGAUACAUUCUUUUAACAUCUCUAUAUAUUUAUGGCUUUUGAAUUAUUGAUCUGAUCCCUUUAUUAUUCUUGGUGAUAUGCAUUUUCGCUGUCAUUUCCUGUCUUCUUUUUGCUUACCCUUCUAUUUUGCUUACAACAUUCUUUUUUAUUUUCUCAUUAAUUAAGAAGAUAAAGAUUUCCAAUGGGACAUAGACAUCAUUGCUAUCAAAUCUUUUGAAUUUUUGAUCUGAUCAUGUUUUGCUUGGAGAGAAGUAGAGGGUCAAGGUACAUCUCUACUUUUUGAACUAUCAUUUACGGAUCCUUAGGAACGUUUCCUCCAUGGCUGGUAAUCCAAUACCAGCAAGAAGAUCAUCUAAGCCUAAUUUGUUUUAGUCAAAACUAUUUUGAACUAAUUUCCAAUAAAUAAAAGCAAGAGCUUCAAGGAAUAACCUGACCCAUCAAACUUGAUUUGGAUUAAAAAAUGAGACAGAAUUGAUCAGUGUAUUAAUAUAUUAUAAUCAACUUUAAUAUCCAAAGCUAAUGUGACAAAUUCUAUGCAAUAAUAGAGUUCACACAAUCUCUCCUUAGAAUUUUAUUCCUUUUCUUUUUCAAAAAAUCAUGCCUCGUCUUGGUCCCAAUAUCUGUCUCAUUAUCUGAUUGGAAGGGUAAAAGAAAAUGAAUCCCCAUUUCUACCAGAAUUGGCCCUUGGGUGAAGCCACCCAAGCAAGGGUUUUAGGCCCCCAAUUUGAGAAGGCCCCAAUUUUAAUAAAGAUUUAUAAUUUUAUAAUAAUUAUAAUAUAAUUAAUUAUAUUAAAAAUAUAUAAAAAUUAAAAAAAUAUAAAAGUUAAAAAUAAUUAAUAAAAUUAUUUGUUCUUUCACUUUUUUAAUUAUGUACCUAAUAAAUCUUAAUUUUCUAUUACUUUUUUAUUUCUAAAAUACUAUUAAUUCUCAACUAUAUUAUCUUAUUUUCAAUAAACUAAUAGUCAUAUGUAUUUAAUAAUCUCCAACAACUAUUUUUUUCUCACUUAUUUCUUUUAUUUCCAAUCAACGCAUUUAACGAUUUCUAACAGCUAUUUUUUUUCCUAUAUAUAAAACUAGUUUUUUUUUUCAAUGUAUAAUAUCUACUUUUGAAAUCUUCCUUUCUCAUUUGCUCUUUCUUCCUUUAACUUCAAAUUUUCUCUAAAGAAUACACAACAAAUCUACUCUUUUUAUUAUCUUCAUAAAGCUGUAAGCCUCAUUUGAAAGAAUAUUGCCUCAAUGUUAAAUAUUCUUUAAAAUAUAACAACUAUUCCGAUAUUGAUGGUUUAGAUUUAUUUUCAAAGUUAAAAAUUUCAAAAGAAAUUAUACAGAAAGAAAACAGUACAAUUGAUAUACUUAAUCAUACAAGAAGACUCGAUUCUUUUCCAAAUGCAGAUAUAGCUUUUAGAAUAAUGUUAACAAUUCAAGUAAGUGUUGCUUCAGGAAAAAGAAGUUUUUCAAAACUAAAAUUAAUAAAAUCUUAUUUAAGAUCAACAAUAUCUCAAGAAAGAUUAAAUGGAUUGGUUAUAUUAUUAAUUGAAAAAGAAAUAUUUGAAGAACUUGAUUAUAAAAAUUUAAUUAAAAAUUUUGCAUCUCAAAAAGCUAAAAGAAUAAAAUUUUAAUAAAAAAAAACCUCAUUGAAAUAUUUCGCUUUAGGCCUUUGAAUUUAUUGGGCCGUCCUUGAUUUCUACCUUCCUUCUCGUCUUUUUGGCUAUACUCUGAAAAACAUUUGAUAGUGGGCCUAUACUCUGAAAAAUUGUCUGUAAAUGUUGUUGGUUUUACCUUAUUCCCAAUCCCAUCUCCAUUGCAAUGUAGUUAUAGUUAUAAAUGGCACCCAAACAAUGCUUUUCAUCCUUUUUGGCUAGUAGGACAUGGAACUACUAUAAUGAGCACUUUUGAAUUAUUGGUUUUUUUUUUCUAGUCUCUUUUUUAUUUUUUUAUUCAAAUAGCAAUGGACUCAAACAUCUUUUGCUUUAUGGAAUUAUAGGUCUCACUUUUUUUUAUAAAAAGCUUUAUUUAACAGGUAAUUAAUAUCUCAAUUCUAAAAUCUUAAAUUAUUAAAAUACGUUAUAUAUUUAGAUCGUUAUGUUAUAAAUUUUAACUACUAUCAAAAUCGAUUAUUAGAGGGAGACAAAUAAUUAAAUCCAUCAACUCAAUGAAAAAUUACAAUUAAAAAAUGGCUAGUAUUGAGAAAAGCAAAGCUAAAAGGAAUUUUAAGAAAGUAUUGUCAAUUUUUUUUCUCCUCGUGAUUGGGAAAACUUUUAUUAACCACUAAUGGAAAAAAAAAAUGGGCGAAGAAAUAGUUUUGGUCAAUCUUCGGCUAAUUGACUAUCUCUACCUCAAAGUAACAAAGAAACAUCAACAUGGAAUUAAGACUCUUCUUGGCUUGCCUUGAAAGAAUUAAGUCUACCACAGAAACUGAAUUUAUCAAAGUAAAAGGGAAAUUUCCAGAACAUGCAAGUAAAUAUAACUAUGUACUACUCAUUCAUACAAAUACUUACAGGUGACUAAAAUUACAAUACACAAAAGAGUGUAACAUUGUAAAAGAGAAGCAAAGAUCAGCCAGCUGCAAAUCAACUAAUCACUGAGAAAACCAUGUAUUCUUGGACUACUAGAAUUUCUCUCAAGAGUUAAGAACAUGUACCAAACAAGCAAAUGCAAUAAGAGGCGUAGAGUAAACUAGUUAUUCAUCACUGCAAAAUAAAGCUGAAAGCAGAGACCGUACCAUAAAGUAGACAGCUCAAAUGUUGUUAAGCACAAUCAAGUACCAGCCACCUGUAUCAUUGAAGCAAAGAACCUGUCAUAAAUCAUAAGCCAUUAGACAAGCACCUUAUUUAAGGAAAGAAAUAAAAUUGGGUUGAAAAGCCAUAUCUACCUGGGUUAGUUAUCCUCUGCUUCGUCCACGUUCAUAUAUAGAGGUAGUGUGUCUUCCUGAUAUCCAUAAAGCCAAAAUACAUCGUUGCAGGCGGCCUGAUUAUCAACUAUUUCUUCCUUAGUGAUCAAACCCUCCCUUCUAUCAUUCUCAACUUGUUCGGGUGCCUUCAAAACAAAUUAACAAAAAACAAAUGACAUAAAGCAAUAAAUCAAUACUGUUUUAAUUAUUUUCUUCUUAAGAUGCUAGGGAAGAAAAAGCCAACCAUUAUUAGUCUUUCUUUUUUCCUGAUCUGAGGAUGAGUCAAUUUGAAUCUUGCUUAUUGAGCAAAAAAUCAUACAUCAUUUAUUAAGUCAAAUGUGUGAGAAUUAUUAUUAAUUAAUUUAUUUUAGAAGAUAAUUAAUUUCACGUUUGAUUUUUAUGAAUAUAUACGAGAGUUUUACAAAAAUAUUAGUAGAUAUUCCUUCCAUCCCAUUAUGGUUAUCUUUCAUAACAUUUUCAAUCAAACGAAUUCAACUUUAAUUAUUAUUUUCCAUAAUGUAUAUCUCAUCGUUAGUUCUAUCAAUAUCAUUGUCAAGAACGACAAAUUAAGCAUAACAAAAGAAAAAGCUGAGUGGGUACCUCUGUUAUGGCAUGCACAACACGUUUUGAAUCAAUGCUGAAGCUUGUAUUCAACUUGGGGCAUUCUUUUACUUCAGCAUAAUGCAUACAGGGGAAUCGAAAAUGGUAACCCUGAGACAAACUCUUGAGGCUUGGCAGCUCUUUAAGAAGCAGUCCUUGCAAGUUAGGGAGCACUAUUCCCUUCUGAUCAUCUUCAACGUCUAAGUUAAAGACUCGCUCAAGUUUAGAGGCCCCAUCAAUUGAGAUGAUCUUGACUUUUGAAGGAGAACAGGUGAUACUAAGAGGAAAUAAGCUUUUCAAGUUGCUGCACUUAUAAAUUCUUAUAAUUUCAAGACUGGGGAAGGAUAUAGGUUGGAGAUGAGCCUGUGAUGAUGAUGCUGAAGUUUGAUCCAUUUCAAUGAUUUGUUCCAAUUCCUCACAAUGAUUUAUCUCCAAAUGGAUCAAAUGCGGCAAAUUUCGAACAAGCAUAGGAGAGAGGAGGUAUUUCAACCUAUUACACUUUGACAUAUGUAACCAUCUAAGACAUUGAAGGCUUGCAACUUGGAUGGGACCCUGCAACUGAUGUAAAUGCUCUAGCUGUAUAUUCUCUACCCUUGAGAAGAAUUGUCCAGCUUGCAUUUGAAAUAUCUUCACACAAUUUCCAACAGUUAUAUAUUCCAAAUUUACUAAACUCCAUCUUGAUUGAGAAUUAAUUGUGUUGCACCCCUUGUCAUUUCCCAAGUCAGAGAGGUAUAAUUCCUGCAAAGAUAUUAAAAUAUCUUAAUUUCAUUAGAAAUUGAAUAAAUUACAAAGGUCCAACAUAUUGUUACAUAAAUAUUGAAAGAGAAAAGUGCCUUGAAUCCCAAAGAAAGUACACAUCACUCUAUGCAUCUAAUGCCUCAUAAAUCAAGCAAUUACUUUAAUAUUUGUUUGAUUAUAAGUUUACACUGUGAAACUUGAUUACAAAGGUCGAUUAACAUAUGACUUGAAGAGUACAAAAUCGAAAGCGAACCUUUUUUGUAUGAAAUGAGGGAAAUAGCAAUUUUUUCUGUAUAUCAAUCUGGAAAUAGCACCCAGUCGUGCUUAGUUCAGUAUAAGUGCAAACAAAGUGGGGAAGGUAUUUUUUUUGUUUACAGGUUCUUGGAUGGGGAGAUUUUGUACUGAUAUUAUAUCUAUUGCUACAUUUCAGGGGUGAUGUUCUGAUCGCCCAUAUUAAUGCAUAUUAACUUUCAGAUAAAAAAACGAAAAAAAUCAGAAUUAACUUCUAAACUAAUGUGCUAUUCUUUUUUUUGCUUUUAAUUCAUGAGUUUUGAUUUUUAUAUUCAUCAAAAAUAAAGAGUAUAAAAUUAUUUUAAUGGCAAUUUUAAGAUAUCGUUGAAUUAGUUUAUGAAGGUUGAAAAGAUUUGAGUCCAAAGCAAAAUCUGGAACCACAAUUGAGGGAAAAGAGUAUAAAAAAAGUACCUUUAGUUGAGCCUGCUGGUUAACUUCUUUUUGAAUGGUGAAAUUUGACAAUUUAAGACAAUUGAAAACUACCAACUUCUCCAAGGAAGGCGCUGCAAUGAGAAAAUUUUUCCGAGCAAAAGCAACUCAAAUUUAUCAAGUUUCCAAGCCGGAGAUCUUGUAGGCAAGGGAGCACAAUGGCACGACCAACUCCAUUCUCUUCUUUUGUCACAUUGAACAGUUGUUGUAACUGAGGAGAAUUGCUUAUCCAAACGAAUUUCAACCGUGGAAGAACUUGAGCCAAUGGAGUUUGAAAAACAUAUUCCAAUUUUGGACAAUCACUUAUGGUAAGAGUUUCCAAUUUUGGCAAGAGCGGAGAAUAGGGAUGGUCUUCUGAUUCUAUUUCAUCAUCAAAUUCCAACUCAGUGAUAAUGUGUUGGAGUCCAUUGCAAUGAUCUAUCUUGAGUUGUUCAAGGAGCACCAAGCUUUGAGCAAGGAAUGGUGAGAAGAGAUAUUUCAAUCUAUUGCAAUAACUAAUUUCUACAAACAUCAAGCUUUGGAGGCUGACAAAAUGGGUGGACCCUUUCCAUAUCAACUUCAAUUCUGGUAAUGAGUGCAACUCCAUGAGUGUUAAAUUUGACAGCAGUGGUCCUUGAUUUUCUUUUGUAUCAUGUAGAAUCUCAUCUGUCUGAAAUACUUCUUGCAAUUGGCCACAAUUAAUAACUUUCACUUCCUUUAGAUUUUGUAGCAUAGGAGAUAAAGAGACCAUUUCCAUGCAAUUCGUUGCUUCCAACUUCUCUAGUUUUUGUAGAAAUCCCUUUGGAAUCAGACCGUUGCACAACAUUUUCAAACCAGUCAUUUCUUCUAUGACUAAUUCCACCAAAUUGAAGAAUGUAUUGGUUGAGACAUGGCCUUGUGUUGUAUCAAUCAAGCAUUCCAGCUCCUUGCCAUCUUUAAUUAGAAGAAAAGUUAAUUCAUUCAGUCCCUUUGGAUCCACAUUUGGAACCAGAUUUUUCUGAUACAUGACUCCUUUCAGCGUAAGACUUUUGGCAUUGUAUAAUAAAUCCUUCAUGGCAUGCAAUCCAAGGUCCUGAUAAAUUCACAACAAAAUGCUUAGUCAGGCAGAUUUUGUGCUGGUAUCUACAUUGCUACAGUGGUGUAACACCUCAAAAUCCUUUUACACAUUUCAGGGGUGAUGUUCUGAUCACCCAUAUUGAUGCAUAUUAACUUUCAGAAAAUCAGAAUUAACAUGCUAAUUAAUAUGCAAUUCUUUUUCUCACAGCAAUUUUAAGAUACCGUCGGAUUAGUUUAUUAAUGUUGAAAUAUUUGAGUCAAAGGCAAAUUUUAGAGCCACAAUUGAAGGAAAAGAGUAUAAAAGAAGUACCUUUAGUUGAGCUUGCUCGUUAACUUCUUUUUGAAUGGUGAAAUUUGUCAAUUUAGGACAGUCCCAAAAUACUAAAUUCUCCAAGGAUGGCGAUGCGAUGAGAAAAUUUUCUGAGAAAAAGCAACUCAAGUUUAUCAAGUUUCCAAGUUGUAGCUGUUGUAGGCAAGGGAGUGCAAUGGCACGAUCAACUCCAUGCUUUUCUUUUGCCACAUUGAAGACUUGUUGCAAUUGAGGAGAAUCGCUUAUCGAAACGAAUUUCAAUCGUGGAGGAACUUGAGCCAAAGAAAUUUGAAAAACAUAUUCCAGUUUUGGACAAUUACUUAUGGUUAGAGUUUCCAAUUUUGGCAAGAACGAAAAAUGGAGAUGGGCAUUUGUUUCUAUUCCAUCAUCAUAGACCAACUCGGUGAUAAUGUGUUGCAGUCCAUCACAGUGAUCUAUCUUGAGUUGUUGUAGCAGUACCAAGCUUUGAGCAAGGGAUGGUGAGAAGAGAUAUUUCACGCUGUUGCAAAAACUAAUUGCUAAAUACUUCAGGCUUUGGAGGCGAACAAAAUGGGUGGACCCUUUCCAUAUCCACUUCAAUUCUGGUAAUAAGUGUAGCUCCAUAAGUGUUAAAUUUGACAGUAGGGGUUCUUCUGUAUCACGAAGAAGCUCAUCUAUUUGAAAUACUUCUUGCAACUGGCCACAAUUAAUAACUUUCACUUCCUUUAGAUCUUGUAGCGCGGGAGAUAAAGAGACCAUUUCCAUGCAAUUCGUUGCCUCCAACUUCUCUAGCUUUUGUAGAAAUCCCUUUGGAAUCCGACCGUUGCACAACAUUUUGAAACCAAUCAUUUCUUGCAUGACUAAUUGCACCAAAUUGAAGAAGGCAUUGGUUGAGACAUGGCCUUCUGUUGUAUCAAUCAAGCAUUCCAGCUCCUUGCCAUCUUUAAGUGCAAGAAAAGUUAAUUCAUUCAGUCCCUUUGGAUCUACAUUUGGAACCAAAUUUUUCUGAUACAUGACUCCUUUCAGGGUAAGACUUUUGGCAUUGUAUAAUAAAUCCUUCAUGGCAUGCAAUCCAAGGUCCUGAUAAAUUCACAACAAAAUGCUUAGUCAGGCAGAUUUUGUGCUGGUAUCUACAUUGCUACACUGGUAUAACACCACAAAAUCCUUUUAUACAUUUCAGGAGUGAUGUUCUGAUCACCCAUAUUAAUGCAUAUUAACUGUCAGAAAAUCAGAAUUAGCAUGCUAAUUAAUAUGCAAUUCUUUUUCUAACAGCAAUUUUAAGACACCGUUGGAUUAGUUUAUUAACGUUGAAAGAUUUGAGUCAAAGGUAAAAUCUAGAACCACAAUUGAAGGAAAAGAGUAUAAAAGAAGUACCUUUAGUUGAGCUUGCUCGUUAACUUCUUUUUGAAUGGUGAAAUUUGUCAAUUUAGGACAGUCCCAAAAUACUAAAUUCUCCAAGGAUGGCGAUGUGAUGAGAAAAUUUUCUGAGAAAAAGCAACUCAAGUUUAUCAAGUUUCCGAGUUGUAGCUGUUGUAGGCAAGGGAGUGCAAUGGCACGAUCAACUCCAUGCUUUUCUUUCACCAUAUUGAAGACUUGUUGCAAUUGAGGAGAAUCGCUUACCCAAACGAAUUUCAAUCGUGGAGGAACUUGAGCCAAAGAAAUUUGAAAAACAUAUUCCAGUUUUGGACAAUUACUUAUGGUUAGAGUUUCCAAUUUUGGCAAGAAUGGAGAAUGGAGAUGCGCGUUUGGUUCAAUUCCAUCAUCACAGUCC